This 79612-nucleotide long non-coding RNA is filed under the name Capsella rubella. Its description in RNAcentral is "long non-coding RNA (CRUB_LNC002949)". Lineage: Eukaryota; Viridiplantae; Streptophyta; Magnoliopsida; Brassicales; Brassicaceae. The record is from RNAcentral.
AUGCAUAAAUCUAUUUUCAAUUAUUUACAUAUAUCCCAACUUAUAAGUAUACUUCUCUUAAAGUUGAACACUUUUAACAUAUACAACUUCUUCAUGUUUGCUAUAACAUAUAUUUUUGUCCAUGAAUUUGAAUUUAGAUUUUUUUUUUUUNNNNNNNNNNNNNNNNNNNNNNNNNNNNNNNNNNNNNNNNNNNNNNNNNNNNNNNNNNNNNNNNNNNNNNNNNNNNNNNNNNNNNNNNNNNNNNNNNNNNNNNNNNNNNNNNNNNNNNNNNNNNNNNNNNNNNNNNNNNNNNNNNNNNNNNNNNNNNNNNNNNNNNNNNNNNNNNNNNNNNNNNNNNNNNNNNNNNNNNNNNNNNNNNNNNNNNNNNNNNNNNNNNNNNNNNNNNNNNNNNNNNNNNNNNNNNNNNNNNNNNNNNNNNNNNNNNNNNNNNNNNNNNNNNNNNNNNNNNNNNNNNNNNNNNNNNNNNNNNNNNNNNNNNNNNNNNNNNNNNNNNNNNNNNNNNNNNNNNNNNNNNNNNNNNNNNNNNNNNNNNNNNNNNNNNNNNNNNNNNNNNNNNNNAAAGAUUACAAUAGAUUUCUGAAGUGACUCAACAUAGUUUUUUUUUUUUACCAAAGGAAACAUUUAUCUAGGAGCCCACACCUGCAAACACCAUUUGGAUUCCUUUGUCAUUUGCAUCAUUACUAAAAUGGUCAUGUAGUUGUAUAGAGACCAUCUUUAAUGAUAACAUCUUAUGCAAGAUAUUUUUCAAUGUAAUUUGAGCCUCUAAGAUCCUCCCAUUAAGGGUGGCCUAAGAUACUCCUAAUUAAGAUAUUACCAUUAAGGAUGCUCUGAUAAACAUGUUUUAUGGUAUUUUUCUCUUAAAGUUUUUUUAUUUUAUUUAUUAUUUUGUGCAAAGAUAUUUUAAUUCAAUUAGAUCCUCAAAAGAGGUAGGUUCAUACAAAUUGAAACAGAGAGAUUACAUGAAACAUAAAGAUAGAGGUUUAAUGAGUUUUCCAAAGUGCAGAGCUUCAAGAAGUUUGCAAAGGCUAAAAUAUCUUUUGAAACCUGUAGGGACUCAUGCUUGAAGAUGAGCUUCGAGAAUUCCCGGAUCAGCUUUGUGAUCAUAAACAGCUCGUGCGAUCAACGCAUAAGAGCUUUUGAUGAAUUGCUCCAUGGAGGAGACUAUAAGUGGAGUCUGGUUCUCAAUGAGUAGGUUAGCUGCAAUGGUAUCUCCUUAGAGGAGGAGUAGUCUAGCGUCAUUGUCCAUGUUUUGGCCUUGCGUUUUUCUUUGGCGAAUCCACUAAUCUUAGUCCUCUAAGGAGAUACCAUGUCACAAAUCCUACUCCUCUUAAAGUUUAUUUUUAAUUUGGUUUUUUAUCUAUUAAUAAGAGUAAUUUAAACAUAAGUGAUCCAUUUAGUAGUAAUAAAAGUAUAUAUGGACCAAACUUGAAAAAAAAAAAAAAGAUGACCGACAUCAUCAAAUUUUUCAUACAGCUAAAAACCAACCAUGCAAGCCUUAGACACACAAUUAUGCACGUUCCCUUGUAAACAAUACAGCUAUAUAUGAAUAAGACGUUACACUUACAAAGAUUAUCUUGGAGUGACUCAAUAUAACAUUUGGAUUCCUUGGUCUGGUCAUUGACAUGGCUGAUAAACCCAGUUUAUUAUGUGGUAAAAGGUUUCUUUCUUUGGUCAAUUUAAUAAUUUAUAGAACAUAUUAUUUUUUCGUAUACAUCCAGAUUAAAGAUUGUAACAAUUUAAAAUUUGGUAUGUAAGUGGAUUAGAUAAAUCAUUUAUUAAAAGUUAAAUGGAGAAAAUUAGGAUAAAUAACAGUGAGAGAAAAAAAAGGAAAAUAAAUAUUUCAUAAAAAUCGAUUCUACACUUGAUUUAAAUAUUGUUAAAAGCACUUAAUAGUCCUAGUAUGAAAAAUGCUAUUUUUAAAAAAAAUGAACAUUUAAAUUAUCACACAUGAUACAUCUCCGUAAAAUAAAAUAAACUGUAAUUCCAAAAUCUACAUACAUUAAUCUUCAUUUAGUAAACUAAACAUAAAAAAAUAACAACUUAUUAGAAAAAUCACGUAUAAUUAUAAACAUUAAAUAUACAUGAUAAAUCCGAAUUAACCCUCUUGACUAAAUUGGUGGCUAAACAAAUUGGUUCUAUGUAAAUUGGUAAACAAUAACUAGAUUACACAUCAAUAUAUAUAUAUAUAUAUAUAUAUAUAUAUAUUAGAGAAGAAAUAAGUGUUACUUUACUUAAUUUUANNNNNNNNNNNNNNNNNNNNNNNNNNNNNNNNNNNNNNNNNNNNNNNNNNNNNNNNNNNNNNNNNNNNNNNNNNNNNNNNNNNNNNNNNNNNNNNNNNNNNNNNNNNNNNNNNNNNNNNNNNNNNNNNNNNNNNNNNNNNNNNNNNNNNNNNNNNNNNNNNAGAAAUUGAUACCAAUAACCUUUUUAUAAUACCCUCUUUUUAAAAUACCUCUUUUUUACCAUUUUCAUUUUUGCCCUCUCUUAAAUUUUAAUGGUCAUUUUACCCCUAUUUGAAAGAAUAUCCUUUCCCAAAGGAAGGCAUAUUCCUUCCAAAAAAUUUCCGCCAAAAACUUUCCCGCCAAAAAAAAAUCGGAGAAAAGUUUUCCCGCCAAAAAAUAUUCCGCAAAAAUUUUCCCGCAAAAAAAUUUUCCGAAAAAAAUUUUCCCGCCAAAUUUUUUAAAGGGUUUAUAAGAUUUUUUUAAGGAUCUUUUAAAGGGUUACAAGGGUUUUUAAAGGGAUUUACAAGAGUUUUUAAAUGGUUUUUAAACGAUUUGUAAUGGUUUUUAAAGGGUUUUAGAAGCCUACAAAGGUUUUUAAAUGGUUUUAAAUGAUUUACAAUGGUUUUUAAAAGUUUUGAAAAGUUUAUAACAGUUUUAAAAGGAUUUACAAGGAUUUUUAAAGGUUUCUAAAAAGGAUUUACAAGUGUUUUUAAAAGGAUUUACAAGUGUAUUUAAAGGCAUACAAUGAUUUAAAAAUAGUUUUAAAGGAUUUACAAGGGGUUUUAAAGGGUUUUAGAAAUUUACAAAGGUUUUUAAAGGGUUUACAAAAGUUUUUAAAUGUAUUACAAGUUCUUUGAAAUGGUUCAUAAGGAUUUACAAGGGGUUUUAAAGGAUUUUAGAAGUUUAUAAAAGUUUUUAUUUAAUGAUUUAUCACGGUUAUAAGGGGUUUAAAGGGAUUUACAAGUGUUUAUAAAUAUUAUAAAAUGAUUAACAAUGAUUUCAAAAGGUUAACUCAAGUUUUGAAAGAUUUUGGAUGACUUUUAAAAGAUUUACAAGGUUUUUAAAGAAUUUUUUAAGGGAUUUAAAAUUAUUUACUAGGUUUUUUAAAAGAUUUUUUAAGGAAUUGCGGAAAAAUUUUGGCUGAAAAUUUUUGGCGGAAAAAAUUUUGUCGGAAUUUUUUUGGCGGGAAAUUUUUCGGAAGGAAUAUUCUUUUUGUUGGAAGGAAUAUUAUUUUUGUUGGAAAGAAUAUUCUUUUUAUUGGAAGAAUAUUCAUUUCUUCAUCAUGGGUUAUAAUAAAGGAGAGUAAUUUAGUCUUUUUGUACAUUGAAGAGGGUAUUUUUGAAAAUGGAUACCUAGAGAGGGUUAUUGUAGAAAAAUGUAUCAUAAAAAUGUUAGUUGUGCAAAUCCCCCUACAAGUUUUGCGCAUAUAUUUAUAUUAAAGUUAUUUUAAUUAUAUAUAGUUUAUUUGUUUUUAGGAAAGUUGUGUUACAAUAGGUGCAGUCUGAAAGGCUUUGAAGAGUUUUGUAAUAUAUAGUAUUUAGGCAAAAAUAUAUUAUGUAUUUUGGAGAUACUAUGUAAGACAUUUAUGUUUCUCUGAACAUAUGAUAUUUGAUUAUUUUUUUAAAUGGUUAAUUGUCUGAUUUCUUGUUUAUGUUAAUUCCAGUUACAUAUACAUUUCAAAUCAAUUUGGCUGAAUAACAGACGCUAACUCCAUAUAUAAACCACUUUAAUCCCAGUGUACUAUCAAACUAUUUUAAAACUUAUGUAUGUUAUUUAAUUCAUUUAUUUUGAGUUGCAGGCACACCGUUUUCUAAUUUAGAAUGCAUAAAUUAUUUGGAUUAAAAAACUGUUCAAGUGUUUUUUUUUUGUAGAAUUUUUAUUUAUAUUAUUAGUUAUAUUAUUUUUAAUUAUUUUCAUAUUAUUUAUUUACCGGCCCCAUUGCACAUAUUAUAGAGGGUCUUAAUUUUUUUAAUAUAAAUAAAUGAAAAAUGAGGAAAAAUACAAAUUAUGAGCAUCUCCAUCACACAUACUAGAGAAUGUCUACAAUUUAUAAUAUAAAAAGAAAUAUUAAUAUUGUAACAAAAAUGUUUUAGAAAAUGUGAGACACUGGGUUUAAAAUAUCUUAGUAAAGAAAUUUUGAUUGAGCUUGUUGUUAUUUUAAAGGCACCCAUAAUAUAAUAUUAAAUAGGAUUUAUCCCGUUGUACACCAUGUGUCCAUAAUUUAUAUAGUUGUAUGGUUGGUCAUUUUGAUAGUUGGUUUAUAUAGUCUAGUUUUUAUACAUGUUUAUUUCAUUUUCAUUUUAUAUAAUUUAUAAAUUUGUAUUAUAAUUAGAUGCAUAGAUAUAUGUGAUCAACCGUCCACCCACGGUACAUCGUGGAACGAUUUUGUUGUAAAAAAAUUAUAUUUUAACUUAAACCGCUAAAUAUUUUAAAUAUAGAAGACCCGUAGAAAAUAUAAUCAUAUUUAUGUAAACUCAAACCCAUUAAACCAUAUUUCUGUACAAUAUUAUUAUAUUUUUAAUUUUGUUAGAGUUAAGUUAUUAAUAAUUUAAUUUUUUGUAGAGUUUAAAUAUUUUAAAUAUUUUAAUAUUAUAUAAAGAUUAAAUAUUAUAAUAUUUGAUGUUCUUAAAAGUUUUAAUAUUUAUAAAAUUUUGAAACUUUUUUAAAGUUUUAAUUUUCUUAAAUAAAGAACCGGAUUAAACCAAAUAAAAUAAUAAUUUGGAUGCCUGAGAAAUCAAACUUCAUGAUCAUUUGUAGUUGGGAGCAUAUUAGUCCUAUUUAUAAUGAUUUUGAACUAUUAUUAAAAAAAAUUCUACUUUGUACAUACUUUUUUCCCUUUAUCGAUUGACUAAUAUACGUCCAUUUUCAAAAUUUUAAAUUGUAAAAUAUGCGAAACAUAAUUUGCAUUGUUAUUAUACAUAAAUUUUAUGUAAUAAUAUAAAUUAAAAAACAAUAAGAUUAUACAAAUAUAUUGGAGAGGGAUUCAAUUUAUUAGAAAGAUAUUUUAGAAACUUUUUUGAUGUAACAAAUAUUGAUUUCCAAUUUUGCGAUUUGCUUGUGAUUGAAUUACAAAAUUGACUUUUAAGUUUUGUUAUUUAUUUAAAUGGCAAGAGUUUAAUUAUGUAAAUAUUACAAAAUAAAAGGUUAUAAGCCUAAAUAGAUUUUAGUACAAAAUGUACUUAAAAAAUGUAUAUAUAUAGAUAUAAUAUGAUUAAGUUUAGUUUGUGACACCCAAAAUAAUUGUACAAUGGGCUGGGAGUGGUAAAUAACAGGUAAAUCUAUUAUUUUUUAACGAUUGAAUAUGUAUAUUUUCCAAAUCUAAACGGUUAAAUUUCUUAAUAUCGUAGAAUAAUGUAAUAUUUCUAUUUAAUUUAUAAUUAUAAUAUAUUAUCGAGUUGAUAAUAAUUAAUAAAUGAUAGUUUCAUAUUUACUAAGAAGAAUAUAAUCUCUACGAUGGCUGUGUUUUCAAAUUUAUUAAGAAAAUCUAAUUGAUAUCAUAUUUGUUUCUAAUUUUGUACAAAUUUUGAUACCACUUCAAGUAUAAAAAUAAAAUUAGAUUAAUAAAUAGUUUAUUGCAUUAUUUUAUAUACUUGAAAUUCAUGUAUUUAAAUGAGUACUAAUCUAGUAUUAUUAUAAAUUAUAUUACUAUCAUUUAAUUUUGCUAAUGCAAACAUGAUUAAACAUGUUUAAAUCAUGUAUGGUGUCAAUCAUUAUAUUGUUUUUGCAAACUAUACUAACGUCACUUGGUAGAUAUUCAUAUCGGUCUAACCAGUCAUACUGUGUUAUCGAACAAAAAAUAGAGUUGAUUUUUUUUUUUAAAUGACAACAUAAAGCUAAUUAAGCCAAUAACUAGGCUCGUGAGUACACCUUACAUUAUAUACUUGUGUUUUAGUUUUCCUUUCAAAUCUCGAUUAAUUUCUUGUAUAUGUAUACUUGUCCUCCAAUGACUCACUAAGAGCACCGAAUAGCGGACCUAGGAUGAAUUUUUACCUAUGUCAAACAUAAGUUUAAAAAAUAAAAUUGACGAGGCAAAUUGGUCCCAACUUCGCCGCACUGGACUGCAAGUGAAUUGGCGCAAAGUAAUCUGGUUUUCAAUACCAAAACAUUCUUUCGUGGUUUGGCUAGCUGCUCGGAAUAGACUCACAACGGAAGAACGUAGAACGUAUGUUGUCCUGGAACAGAUGAAUGAAUCCUGCAUAUGUCUUUUGUCGGGCACCUCUGGAAACGUUGCCUAAUCUUUUUUUCCGUCUGCCCCUACUCUUCUUAGGUUUGGCAGGCUUUAUCUCGAAAGCUUAUGCCACACCAUUUUUCUCAGCUUUUGGUUCUUCUUUGGGGUCAAACUUUUCAAGGCACCAGCUGCUUCAUUUUGUGUCUUGCUUUCCAGGUUGUAGUUCACACGCUCUAUAUAGAAUGUAAUCGGCACAAACAUGGGGCAUGCCAAACACCACAGACCGGUAAUCCUUUUUUUUGGACCAUAUGGUUCGUAACAAGCUUCUUUCAAUGUAGGACCAUUCGACAAAGUUUGGUGAUGGACUCCAACUUUGGCUGGCUACUCCCACAGUCGCACCUAAACUAUUCUCUUUCACUUUGCUUCGAAUUCUUUUACACGUUUCUAAGUUUUAUUCAAAUCUUUCGAUGAAAGGAUGCUUUCAUGUAAAAAAGAACUUUUUUUUGUUUGAAUAUAUUUUCACAUUCAUUUAUAAAAAAAAAAAAAAUUACUCAUGUCAACUGACCUCCUCUUCUUGCAUGUAAGUCUGCCAGAGAGCACUUACAAAAGGGUGCUUAAAUGAUGUUAUAGGAAGUUGCUUAGUCAUAAACUAUUCUCUACAACUAAGAUUAUAUAAGGAUUGAUGCUUAUUUAGGGUGUUUAAAAUCAGCUAACGAUCUUCUUUAUUUACCAUAUCCUUACUUGCACCUCUCUCACUCUCAUUCUCUAACAAGUCAGGUCUCAUAAAUAUGUGUGUGUACGUAAGAUUGGUUUUAUCAUAUGAAAAGUUGCAAGAUUGGUUUAGUUGGAUCAAAAAAAUCAUAUGUACCGAUCAGUAUGAGGAGAUCAAAUUAGUUUGUGUGCGAUUUUUGAACUAUUUUUUUUUGAAAUAUUAUAAUUUUUAAAUUAGUUUUUAAGCACCCCAAAUAAAAUGUUACCAUUGGAUAGCCAUAAUUUUAAAAACUAAUCAACAGAUUCUUAACCUAGAAGUUUUCAAAAUUAAUAAUAAAAAUUAAAAUUUGGUAAACAGUAAACACCUUUCACACCAUUGGAGUUGGUCUAAGUAGAGUUAAUGCGAUUAUACUCUAUCUCUAAAAUACAUUUGAAUAUCAACUAAUUAAGCUGUAUGUUAUACUACAUAGGGAUAACAUGUUAGAUUAAGAUCAUAUUUAGCUAAUUUUUUGACAUUUUCCCCCAUUUAUCAGUCGUCGCAAUAUAACAUUAGAUAUCCUCUUUUUAUUUAUUAAUUUAUUCUUUUGUGAUUUCCCAAAACAAAAGAAGAUAAAGCUAGCUUUACUCUAAAGCUUUUAUCUCUUCCUUAAACUUGACCAUUGCAACUCUUGGCAAUGUAACCACAAUCUGAACCCCUCCGACCAUAUCUGGUUCCAACCUAGAUGGUCGCAUGAACAUAUUAACCAUCCUAGCUGUCUCGGAUGGGACGACCGGGACGACAUUAACCGGCUCAUCCCACCCAAAAUCCAUCGAUCCAAAGAUCCCUAUAUUCCGCCAAUCCGUCAAACAAAACAACCCAUCUUUUUUUCCCUUGAUCGUUAGAUUCAUCUUAAUAAUCUUUUCAGUGUUUACAAGCUCUUCUUGGAGAUAAUCUUUAUGUUGAGCCUUUCUCUUCGCUUCUUUUAUGAGCUUUACGAUAUCUGAAACCGUCGAUUCUUCCACUUCUCUUGUGGUUAGUGGCACAUACAUAUCAAUAUAUGCAUUGCCAUAGUAUCCGUCGGGCAAAGGUGGAUCCACGACGUUUCGAAUUCCUACACUUAAACCCAAAACAGUGACUCCAUCUCGAUCCAAAUCAAGAGCUUUAACUCUUGACUUCCAUAGAUAAGCACUUAUAACUUCAAAAGUUGUGAGUGGCUCACUAGAGAAGUCAUAUUCGUUCAAUGUAGCUUCUUUCAACCUUCUUAUGCUCUCCGCUUUAAUAUUUAUUUUCUCAGUUACCUGAUUACAGUUAUAAAUAUGGAAUCAAGAAAAUUAACUUUUAGACCAAAAAUAAACUAAAGGAUCUAGUAUUUUUCAUAAAACCUAAUUGUGGUAAAUAGUUUUAUCAAAAGUAUUAUUUUUAGCAACUUUACCAAUUUUUAUAUACACAUAGAAUUGAUUUCUUAUAUAUGCAAAAAUAUUGUCAUUCUGACGUCUUGAUUUUUUUUUGGUCAAUAUGUAAGCAAAGUAUAUUUCAUAAGUAUAUUAAGUAUGUUAGUGUUAACUGUUAAUUAAUGAGGCAUUUGAAAAAUACUUGUUGUUUAGUUUUUUUUACUUCUUCUAAACAUACCAAACAAAAAAUCAACUUUGUAAGAAUAUUUACGAACCAAAAUUUUGGUUUGAGAAAUUAAUAAUAAUAAUAAGUUGUAUAUUAUGAAGGGUUCAAUCUAAAAUUUUUAGCAAAAACCCUUUUUUUUUGUUAAUGUAUUUUUGCAUUUUAUAUUAUUUUAAUCUCACAAACCAAUUCCUAUUUAUUUGGUUUCAAGACGGCUCAAUACAUUACCCAAUCAUCGGUAGGUAAGUAGGGCGACGCAGCUGUGUCUCCCCGUGGAACUAAUGGACGUUGAUCAUCGACGACAGGCUCCCCCACAAGUCUUUCCCUUUCCCAAACUGGUGUCACUGUCAGCUUCUUUUUUCCACCAGCCAACUCUGUUAAGGCACACAUGAUAUGACCAAGUCCAUAUCCAUCGCACAUUGCAUGCGACGCCGCUAAACCUAAUAUGAAUCCUCCACAGCCAAAUUUGGUCACCUGUCAUUAAAUAAUUAUCUUUGUUAUUUGCUUAUUUGAAACAUCAAAGGGUUAGGUUAGGUAUGUAUGUACCUGCAAAGCAAAAGGUCGAUAACCAUCCUCCACUUGGAUCUCUGGCAAGAACUCUAAAGCCGUGUCUGAGUCAAUGUUGUCUAAAUACUUCAAUGAAGACAGUUCCACAUUUGUAGUAGCCACCGUGAAAGCCACACCUACUUCAUCUCCUCCAUAACUCAACUGAAGCUUCUGAUCACUCUCCCGCCGCUUCAAACUCCCUGCAAGUGGAUAGUAAUACACAAGAAGAUCGGACAAAGCCUCCCUAAGCAAAGACUCCGGCCGGUCAACAUCACCAUUAAAAGCUUUAUUUGCUCUGAAAACGUAACAGACCUUGUACAUGACCUCAUUGUCUGGAUCAUUGUCAAGUGUUGAAAGGGAAAGAGUUUGUGGAGGUAUGUGUUUUGAAGGUUUCACCAUUUCGGUGAGUUUUUUUACAGCCAUUAAAGGGAUCUGUGAGCUUACUUGGACUGGCAUGUCGUCUAAUGUCUUAACUCUUUAUCGCUUUGAAGACAUAUAAUAAGAGACUUGCCUUUUAUAGAGAAAGUUUUGGUAUUUAGCUUGAUUUUAGAAUAUAUUUUAGUUAUUAUAUAUUUCUAAACAUUGUUAAAAUAUGUGGAGAGUAAUAUUUGUUCUUUUAAUUCAAAAAUAUUAGGUUUGUUUUCUGUAUGUACUCUAUAGUUUUCUUUCUUUUCUCUAUUUAGCAAAGAUUUUUGUGUUGUUGACAAUAUAUAUUUUGCUCUAAUGUUGUUACAUUUAUGAUGAUUAAUCUAUCAGAUCUAGCUACAUGUAAUACAUGCAGCUCUCUCUACAACAUUCGAAUUCUCUAUUAACGAUUAUUAUACCUUUGCAUGUUUUACAUCCUAACUCUCAAAACCAUGACGAAAGAACAACUCUGCCUACGAUACUUUUUAUUUGUUUUGAUACUAAUGUUGGUAAAUUUGGGUAAGCCUUUAAUGAUUUCGACCUAAACAAGCAAUAAAAUAAGGCAUAUUGGAUUGAAUACCCAUUAAUUUUGUGGAAUUUUUACAAUCCCUUAGACACGAGAAUAUAACAUGAGACACGGGUUAUACAGAUUAAAAAACAUAUAUUUUUUUCUUUUUCCAUAAAAAUUCUAUUAAAUACAAUGAAUUCAACCAAUGAGAAAAUAUGAUGUAUGAUAUGAUUGAUCAAAAUUUAUUAAAUGCAUUAAAUAUUUGUAUAAAAAAAUGAAAACAUCACUUAAAUGAAAUAAUUUUUUAAGGCUAAAACAUCACUUAAAAUGAAACGAGAGAAUACACUCUUUUGCUGAAAUUGUAUUUAAUAUUUUUUUUGGUAGGAUAGAGGAGACAAAAAAAAACUUUCGCAUGUUAGUAAAAAAAAAUUUUUUACUAUAAAUCACAUUUGGACCUUUUGAAGGUGGCAAAUACCCCCUAACGUCUUCGAAUAGUCACAACAUCCAGCUUUAAAGACAAAGAUUGAAAACCUAGUGAUAGCGAGAAAGCAUAUCAACCGGAGAUUCUUAGAUACCCCAUUACGUACGUUACUAUCACAUGAAGCCUUGGCAAUGAAUACCAAUCAAUCAUGGAGAUUUCACAAUUUUCUAAGAUGACCUCACAGUUUUCACAAUUUUCUAAGAUUGAAAACCUAGUGAUAGCGAGAAAGCUUUAUAAUCGUGCACGUGGGAAUUAUCUAUACCACUUGGAAAUUAUUCAUCUCUCCAUGUUACAACGGAAGCGGAUCAAUAUAAACAACAAAUAAUCCUUACAGGUUUAAUGUGACUAAGUAACAAUAAGGGUGAAUGAUGUUGACGGUGUUUGGUGAUGCAAGCCUUUGAGUCAUGAAGGCUGGAUUGUUAGCACAAGGAUGCGGAUGAAUGGAGAGCGAUUCAGAGACUCAUAUUCUAUAAAGUACAUAAUGAGGUAAAUGUAUUCUUUUGAUGGAUGUUAUAGCUUAAUUAUAGUUAAGAAUGUGUUAAGCUUCAUGUUAGCAUUUUUAAGUGUGUUUUUGUGAAGUUGAUUUUUCUCCAGAAAUUUCGCCGGAAUGUUUUUUCAGGUGUGUUUUUAGUUUACGGGUUAGGGUGUCUCACUUAGACCCAAUGUUAGUAUAAUUAAUAAUCCAUGGCUUACAAUUAAUUAAGGACAUAUAUAUAUCCACUUAUUAUUAUUUGAUGUUUUCAACUAUAAUUUUUGUGGUGAUAAAUAUAUUAUAUGUUUAUUGUCUAGUUUUUUUUUCUCUGGGUUAAAGUAGAGACUUUACUACUUAAAUUAUGAUUUUUUUUUUUUGAACUUAUACUAUUUCGAGUUCCACCACAUAAAUGUAUUUAUUUACACUCAACUUAUAUUUAUCUUAAAGUUGAACACUUUUAACAUAUACUACUUCUUCAUGUUCGCUAUGACUAGAAGAAACAUUUUUCCAGAUGAUUCACCAUCACUAGAUAAGACUUUCAACACACAACAAUUCAGUUAUCAAAAUUAUUAAAACUAAAAAUAUAAUCUUAAUCAUAUAUUACAUGAUUAAGUAGAUGUGAAAAUUAAGUAUAGUACCACAGUACAAUAUAAACAUUCAAAAUUGAAUAUCAAUUCGUUCACUUACCGCAAGUGCAAGGACGAAUUUGAAAACACGUCCACAAGCUGAAACCGAACCGAACCGAAACUAAAAGAAAAUCGAAAAUCGAAAUUGAAUUGAAUAUUUGAACGCCCAUGACUAGAUUAACAAUAAAACACAACAAUUUCAGUUACUUAAAUUUAUUAAAAAAAAAAAAAACCAACAAUGUAUUACAUUGAGUAGAUGUUUGAACAAUAAAACUGAAUAUCAUUAAAUGUUGUGGUAAAAAUGUUUGGUCCGUUCCUCUGUAGUAUCUUAUCUACUAAUUUAAGUCCACGUAUGAAUAAAGCCAAACAAAUCCUAUAUGUAUAUGAUGACAUUUAUUUUUGUUUGCAUAUAUUUUUGUCCAUGAAUUUGAAUUUAGAUUUUUUUUUUUUUUUUUUUAAUGAAAGAUUACAAAGUUUAGACCAAAGGAAGCAUUUAAUCUACGAGCCCACCACCUGCAGAAAUCAUCUUUCAUACAGCUAAAAACUAACCAUGCAGACCUUCAAGAGACACACAAUGCAUGUUCCCUUGUAAUAAUAUUACAGCUAUCUGAGUAAGACAUCACACUACACUUACAAAAAACAGUCCACACUUGGUCGGUGUACCGGUUUUCCUAAAAUAAUUUUUCAUACAAUUCGAUUCUACACUCUUGAUUUAAAUAUUUUAAUAUGAAAUUAUUUUUCGGAUACAACAUUUUCAGGUUUUUUUAUAAAAAUUUCACAAUUUAUUUUCUAAAUUUAGACCGUUAAAUUUGUUAAUAUUAUAGGAUAAUCUAAUAUUUAUAUUUAAUUUAUAAUUGUAAUACAUUAUCAAAUUAAUAAUAGUUAAGUUUCAAAUGUACUAAGAUGGCUGUGUUUCAAAUUUGUUAAGAAAAUUCUAAUCGUUAUCUCAUUUUUUCUAUUUUGUACAAAUUUUAAUACUACUUAAAGUACUAAAAUAAAUUAAAAAUAGUAAAUAGUUAAAAUCAUUAGAUCAAAUGUAUAUAAAUUAUUUAUAUUAUUGCAUUAUUUUAUAUAUUUGAAAUCCACAUAUUUAUAUGAGUACUAAUCUAGUAUUAUUAUAAACCAUAUUACUAUCAUCAUAAUUUUGCUAAUGAAUGCAUGCUUAAAAAAAUUUAAAUCAUGUAUGAUGUCAAUCAUUACAUUGGUUUUGCAAACAAGACCAACGUCAUUUGGUAGAUAUGCAGAUGAUCAGAUCGAUCGGUCUAACCAGUUAUAUUGUAUUUUCGAACCAAAAACAGAGUUGAAUUUUUUAUAAACAUGACAACAUAAAAACUAAUUAAGCCGAUAACUAGGCUUGUAAGUACUUCUUCCGUUUUAUACUUUUUCUCUUUAUUUUUGUCACACAACGACCCAUUUAAGUAAGUACAUUGGCGUAUAUAUGAUAAGUCCCAAACAUUACAUUAUAACAUUAAAAUUCAAAUCAUUAAGUGUAAAUAAAAGAAAGAAUAAUGGGGGACGUUUCUAAAUCUUCGACGUUCUUUGCCAUGUUUCUUCAUUAUACGUGGGCUUCACUAACACUUGGCGACCUGCGAUUGGUUGUUUUUUUUUUUAAUCUAAAAAUAAAAUAAAAAAUUUUUUUAAAAAAAAUUUGGGACAAUUUCAUAUGGUCUUAAAUCCCCAUUUAUCCUUUGUCGUUUGCUUCAAUAAUUGCCGUGAUCAAAUCCCCAUUUAUCAUAUACUUAAAACGUCUCUUUCUUUGGUCAGUAAGACAUAUAUUCUUUUUUGGUAUACAUCUAAAGAUUUCAACAAUAUAAAUUUUGCUAUGUAUUUUUUGAAGUGAAUUAGAUUUAACUGGAAAAAUGGAGGAUUAGGAAGAGAGAAAUAAGAAAGCACUUGAUUAAUUCGAAUAUACACUUGAUUUAAAUGAUGCAAAACUCGAUUAUUUUUCGUAAUAAGUUUAGAUCAAAGGAAGCAUUUAUCUACGAGCCCACCAACUGCAUCAAUCAUUUUUCAUAUAUGUUUCAGUAGUAUUUUUGGAAAAAUAUAUAUUUUAUUAGUAUUUUUGAAAAAAAAAACUCAUAAUGGUUCUAUGUAAAUUUGUAAACAAUAACUAGAUUACACAUCAAUAAACAAAAGAACAAUUUGAAAAGAAAAUAAAUGGUUCUAGUGUAUUGGAUUUUAUAUUCUAAUUUAUAUGUUUUCACACACAGCUAACCCAACCAUACAAGCCUUCAAGAUACACUUCACUAUAUGAGGGACAUACAUUAGAUUUCUUGAUUCUACGGGGAUCAUUUCCCUCUUAAUUUUUUAUUUUUAAUUAAGAUUUUCUAGUUUUUGUAAACUAAAAACCGAUCGUCUUGUCUUCCAGAUUAUUUGAUUUGAAUGUUACUUUUAUAAAAAAAUAUUCAAUGUAUUAAAUUAUUGUCAUAUAUAAUCUUGUCUUUUUAAAAUUGGUCUAAUCAAAUACCCGACUUAUCAGAUGUAAACAUGUUCGACGAAAUCGUUUAGUGUGGUAAAAUUUCAAUCACAUGUUUUUCAGAUAUAUAUACACUAUGUUUACAUAAUGUUAUUAAUAUAUUAAAGUAGUCUAAUGGUAAAAAAGGUUUAUUUGUGUCAACAUUUUUCGAAUUCGAAACUUAUCUCCAACAUAAUAAUUUUUUAGGACGCGGACAUUAAAUUCUACACAAAAACCUUGUAAACAUAAUAAUAUAGAUUGCCACUUCUAUAUUUUUUUUGGUGUGAACAAAGGAAACGUUAUUUAGGAACCCACACCAUUUUGAUUCCUUUGUCGUUUGUUUCAAUAAUUGCCGUGAUCAAAUCCCCAUUUAUCAUAUGCUUCAAACGUCUCUUUCUUUGGUCAGUAAGACAUAUAUUCUUUUUUGGUAUACAUCCAAAGAUUGCAACAAUAUAAAAUUUGCUAUGUAUGUUUUGAAGUGAAUUAGAUUUAACUAGAAAAAAUGGAGGAUUAGGAAGAGAGAAAUAAGAAAGCACUUGAUUAAUUCGAAUAUACACUUGAUUUAAAUGAUUCAAAACUCGAUUAGUUUAGACCAAAGGAAGCAUUUAAUCUACGAGCCCACCACCUGCAGAAAUCAUUUUUCAUACAGCUAAAAACCUAACCAUGCAGACCGUCAAGACAUAAUGCACGCUCCCUUGUAAUAUUACAGCUAUCUGACUAAGACAAUACAUUACACUUCCAAAAAAACAGUCCACACUUGGUCGGUGUACCGGUUUUCCUAAAAUAAUUAUUCAUACAAUUCGAUUCUACACUCUUGAUUUAAAUAUUUUAAUAUGAAAAUUUCUUUUGGAUAGCACAUUUUCAUUUUUUUUCUAAAAAUAUCACAAUUUAUUUUCUAAAUUUAGACCGUUAAAUUUGUUAAUAUUAUAGGAUAAUCUAAUAUUUAUAUUUAAUUUAUAAUUGUAAUACAUUAUCAAACUAAUAAUAGCUAAGUUUCAAAUGUACUAAGAUGGAUGUGUUUCAAAUUUAUUAAGAAAAUUCUAAUCGUUAUCUCAUUUUUUUCUAUUUUAUACAAAUUUUAAUACCACUUAAAGUAUUAAAAUAAAUUAAAAAAUAGUAAAUAGUUUAAAUCAUGGGAAUUUCAAAAAUACCCCUUUUCUAAUACCACUUUUUAAAAAUACCACUCUUUCUAAUUUUAUCAAAAUGUCACUAUAAAAUUUGAAAUUUCUCAAAAACAUAUGUGUAAACUUAUAUUUAUAGACACAAAUUAUCUUUAUAUGUGUGUAAAUUUAUAUAUAUUUCAUAAAUACUGUAUAAAUACCUUUUAAAAAUCUUUUAAAAACCAUUUAAAACCCUUAUUAAAACUAUAUAAACCUUUUAAAAACCUUAUAAAAACCUUAUAAAUGCCGUUUAGAACCUUUUAAAACCUUAUAAAUAUUUGGAUUUAGUCUUCCAGUAGUAAUGAUGAUCUUGAUGUACCUUAUCAACCAUAUAAAAGUUUAUAAUAUUUCAUAUUUGAAAAAGGGUAUUUUUGAAAAUGGAUAGAAAAGAAAGGUAUUUUUAAAAAGGAUAAACCAAAAGGGGCAUUUCUCAAAAAUUCUCUUAGAUCAAAGGUAUAUCAAUUAUUUAUAUUAUUGCAUUAUUUUAUUUAUUUGAAAUCCACAUAUUUAUAUGAGUACUAAUCUAGUAUUGUUAUAAACCAUAUUACUAUCAUCAUAAUUUUGCUAAUGAAUGCAUGAUUAAAAAAUUUUAAAUCAUGUAUGGUGUCAAUCAUUACAUUGUUUUUGCAAACAAGACCAACAUGAUUUGGUAGAUAUGCAGAUGAUCAGAUCGGUCUAACCAAUUAUAUACUUAUAUUGUAUUUUCGAACCAAAAACAGAGUUGAAUUUUUUCUAAACAUGACAACAUAAAAGCUAAUUAAGCCAAUAACUAGGCUUGUGAGUAUUCCUUCCAUUCUAUACUUUUUCUCUUUAGUUUUGUCACACAACAACCCCUUAUAAAAGCCGUUACAAGCAUGUGCCCCAAUGAAUACCAAUAAGUAGAGAUAUUGCGAUUAAAUAUAUCUAAAAUACGUCUAAAAAUCAACACUAAUUAAACUUUACUCACCUCGUUUCUUUUUAAGUGAUGUUUUAGUAAAAAAAAAAUUGUUUCCUUUCAAAAAAUGUUUUCAAUUUUCUAUGUAAUAAUCGAAUGUAUUUAAUAUUUUUGAUUUAAUCUUUGCAGUAUUAAUCUUAUAUUUUUUAUUGGUUGGAUUCAUUUUAAUUAACAAUUUUUUGAUGGAAAAUCGAUAAAUUAUAUGUUUUCUUACUAUAUGUGUAAAAAGUAAAAACUUUAAACAUCAUUUAACAAAAAAUGGAGAGAGUAUGUUAUACUGCAUAGAGAAAACAUGAUAGAUUAAGAUCAUAUUUAACUUUUUUUUUUUUUUGACAUUUUCUCCCUUUUAUCAAUCUUCGAAAUAUAACCUUAGAUAUCCUCUUCGUAUUUUUUAAUUUAUUCUUUUAUGAUUUCCUCAAAACAAAAGAAGAUAAAAGUUUACUCUAAAGCUUCCAUCUCUUCCUUAAACUUGACCAUUGCAACUCUUGGCAAUGUAACCACAAUCUGAACCCCUCCGACCAUAUCCGGUUCCAACCUAGAUGGUCGCAUGAACAUAUUAACCAUCCUAGCUGUCUCGGAUGGGACGACCGGGACGACAUUAACCGGCUCAUCCCACCCGAAAUCCAUCGAUCCAAAGAUCCCUAUAUUCCUCCAAUCCGUCAAACAAAACAACCCAUCUUUUUUUCCCUUGAUCGUUAGAUUCAUCUUAAUGAUCUUUUCAGUGUUUACAAGCUCUUCUUCAAGAUAAUCUUUAUCGUGAGCCUUUCUCUUCGCUUCUUUUAUGAGCUUUACGAUAUCCGAAACUGUCGAUUCUUCCACUUCUCUAGCCGUUAGUGGCACGUACAUAUCAAUAUAUGCGUUACCAUAGUAUCCAUCAGGCAAAGGUGGAUCCACAACAUUGCGUAUUCCUACUGAUAAACCCAAAACAGUGACUCCAUCUCGAUCCAAAUCAAGAGCUUUAACUCUUGACUUCCAUAAAUAAGCUCCUAUGACUUCGAAAGUAGUGACUGCCUCACUAGAGAAGUCGUACUCUUUCAAUGUAGCUUCUUUCAAUCUUCUUAUGCUAUCAGCUUUAAUAUUUAUUUUUUCAGUUACCUAACAAGGAUAGAACAAACAUAUUAUUUUAGAUGCAAAUUAAAAAAGUAACAUAUAUAUAGUAUUUUGUUUUAGUGCAUGCACACAUGCAUACCCAAUCAUCCGUUGGUAAGUAGGGAGAAGCGGCCGUGUCGCCGCCGGGAAGAAACGGAGGUUCAUCAUCGUCGUCUUCGGGUUUCCCGACAAGUCUUUCUCUUUCCCAAACCGGAGUCAACGUUGGUUUCUUGUUGCCGCCGGCUAACUCAGUUAAGGCACACAUGAUAUGACCUUCACCAUAUCCAUCGCACAUUGCAUGUGACAUCGCCAUCCCUAAUAUGAAUCCUCCACAUCCAAAUUUGGUUACCUGUCAUUACCAAUAAGGUUAUUUAAUGUGGGAUAUAUGAAAUAUUAUUAAUACAUCUGAAGUUGAUGUGAGAAAAAGUUUGGUCCCUAUUAGUUUAAUACUCAUGAUAGUCCCCUGGCACAAGCUGUGUUGUUUAUAAAUUUACGUUGUUUUACAUCACAAAAAAAAACAAAAACUAAUUACCCAACAGUUACGCUGCAUUAAGUUUCCAUGCACGAAAUUAUAUAGACAAGACAAAACUGAUUACAUGGCAGUCAUGCAUGACCUGUCUGAUAUUAAAACAUACCUAUAUUUUAAAGAGGUUUACCUGUUGUUACAUAUUUUGCUAAAUUAUGUCUCGAUCGAAGAUACAUAAAAUAUGUAAGUAGAUUUCUAUAUGUAUGGGAAUUUUUUUAUGGAUGUAAAUAUUUUUCCUUGAUGAUAUAUGAUUUUUAAUCCGAACAAAGGGAUCCAAACCAAACCAAGUCGAGCCAAAUUAACAAAUCCAAAAACCAAAUCGUAUGACCAUGAAUGUUUGCAAAAAUUUUAAGUGUUUUUAGAUUAUGUUUUUUAGUUGUAAUUUGUGUUAAAAACUUUUUAAGAAAUCUAAAAUGAUAACUUUUUAAAAUUGACAAAAACUAUAAAAAAAUCUAAUAUUCUCCAUCUUUUAGGAAAUCUUUUGUCAUAUUCUUGAUUAACUAUAAAGUAAAAAUUUUGGGAAAACUAAAACCAAGAAUAACUUCAAAAUCCUUAACCAUUUAAAAUCAAGAAUAUGUAAAUGUGAUAAUAACCCAAAUCCAAACUAUAAACACCUAAAAAUCAUGAACAGUUUGUGUACCUGCAAAGCAAAAGGUCGAUAACACUCGUUCUCCACGUGAAGUUCAGGCAAGAACUUCAAGGCCGUAUCUGAGUCAAUGUUCUCAAGAUUAUUCAAAGAAGAGAGCUCCACAUUUUCAGUAGCCACCGUGAACGGCACACCACCUUCAUCGCCACCGCAGGUCAACAGAAGCUUCCGGUCACUCUCCUGCCGCUUCAAACUCCCUGAAAGUGGACAAUAAUAGACAAGAAGAUCAGACAAAGCCUCCUUAAGUAAAGCUUCCGCCUGGUCAUCAUUAUCCACAACGUUCUUGGCUUUGAAAACGUAACAGGCCUUGUAGAUGACCUCAUUGUAAGGAUCAUUGUCAAGUGUUGAAAGAGAAAGAGUUUGUUUAGGUAUGUGUUUUGAGGGUUUCACUAUUUCGGUGAGCUUUUUUUGUGCCAUUAAAGGGAUCGACAUGUUUUGAUUUCUGUGUGUAUAGCCUUAAUUAGUGAACACUCUAGUCCUUUAUAAACAAAAGAUUUGGCGUCAUGUUCGCCACGUCUAACCUUGAAGAUUAACAACUGUCACUUUUAUUUAUAUUCUAAUUUAAAUUAAGAAAAUGGAAACUGUUUCAUUUACGUGUCAUUUUGAAAAUAAACAAUGCUUAAGUUAUUAUCAUUGUUGUCCGCACGGCCAAUGAAUCUUCAUCUUUAUUUGGGAAGCUGAAAGCAAACGUAAGUAACUCGUAUCAUGUUUAAAGAUUUGGUCUAACAACUGGUAUUACGUACGUGGUAGCCACGGAGGGAUCAUAUAUAUUAAAAGAUUUGGUCUUGCCAUCUUUAUUUGGUCAUUACAAAUUAGAUCGGACGAUGAAACAUAAACGUCAUGAGAUUUGAUUUGUAACGCUUUGGCAUAAAAAAAUAAAUAAAGAAACACUAGAUAAGAACAACCAACAACCCCCUAAUAAACUAUCUCAUUUUUGUCAGCAACCAAUCAAGGCCAAAGACUACCAAACGAGAAAAUCUGCGUUAAACAUUAACAUCUUAGUUAUGAAGAAAUGAGAUAGUCAUUUACACAAGUUGGCAUUAUCUAUACAAUCAAAAUCAAGAUUUGAGAAAGACACUUACAUUGAUUAUCUUCACGCUAUUUGUUUUUCACAAAUUAUUUCAAACAGAUAUCAUACUUUACACGCAUUUAUAACAAUAUUAAAAUAAUUAUGUACUCAAAUAUAAUUUAAUCACAAAGAAAAGCAGAAUAACACAACUAAAAAACUUAGUGACAUUAUGAAAAAACAACAUUUUCUGAUAGUCAUGUUUAGACUAAUGCUCUAAAUCAAGUCUUGCCAUGUUUCUUUGGUCAUUGCAAAUUAUAUCGGACGAUGAAACAUAAAUGUCAUGACAUUUGAUUUGUAACGGUUUGACAUUAAAAAAAAAAAACAACGAAACACUAGAUAAGAACCACCAAUAAACUAACAACACAAAAAUACUACCAAACAAGAAAAUCUGCGUUGAACACUAACAUUUUUUUUUUUGACCUUUUAAAGAAAUGAGAUGGUCAUUAUUGUUUGGGAUGAUUUAGACCAUUAAAAAUCAAGAUUUGAGAAAGAAAAUUACAUUGGUUGUUUUAACCACAAUGACAUUGUUUAUUGUAAAUAUAUAUUGUAGGGAGGAGCUUGAGGAACUAUCAGCUGAGUUUCUAUUGAAUUCGGCUGGACAUUGGCCCAUUAAUUUUACCCUUACAUUCUCUGGCCGUUUGUUCAAAACUUAGACUAAAUACAUUAUUGUCAUGGCUUGUUAUCUUAGAUUUCUCUUCUUCUGAUUACUUUGUUUUAGUUUUUUUUUUUCCUCCUAAGUUUUCAAAUCUUGAUUGAAAGAAAUGAAAAUGAACAAGGACUACAACAAUAUUAUCUUAUUAUUGAAAUAAGCUAUUAAUAUUUAUUGAUUUUAUUAUUAAGCUUACCACACACAAAAGAAAGACUAGUCAUGCUUUAGUCUAGAGCAUUGAUCUCAUCCUUGAACUUAACCAUUGCAGGUCUUGGCAAUGUAGUCAUGAUCUGAACCCCUCCAACCAUCGCCUGUUCCAAACUUGAUGGUCGCAUGACCAUAUUAAACGUCCUAGCUGUUUCCGGGGGUACUACAGGGACAACAUUCACUGGUUCAUUCCAUCUGAAAUCCAUUGAUCCAAAAAUCCCAAUAUUCCUACAAUCUGUCAAUAAAUAUAACCCAUCUUUCUUUCCUUUGGUCUUUAACUUCAUAUUAAUGAUAUUUUCUAUGUUUGCAAGCUCUCCUUGGAGGUAAGUUUUACUCUGACCUUUCUUCUUUGUUUCUUUUAUGAGUUUUACGAUGUCUACGAAGCUUUUUGUUUUCUUCCUUUUCGUCUUCUACUUUUAUACAAAAAUCUUUGCUUUUCAUUUCUCUAAAUACAUAUAACUAUUAUAACCAAAAGUAAAUAUCUCAAUUUUUAAAAUUUAAUAGUUAAAAGAAGGGUAACACCUCAGUUAGGAAUAUAUUUGUCCACGCAGAGAGAUUUAAAAGAACUGAUUUGUUACACUUAUCUUUUCGGUCGAAUGUCUUAAGAGAACUUCACCUUAUACCAGAGUGGUUUCAGGUUGAAUAACCUUCCGAUAAGUAUUUGAUGGAACUGUACGAGUGAAAACGAAAGACGGGAAAAAAAUAUAUGGUAAUAAAAAAUAUUUAAAGCAUUGCAUACGUUGUCGGAUACGAGUGAACUUACGGACCUGUACCUGGAUAGGACAUGGACUCCAUUGAUCUAGAGGAGUAUAACAGAAAAAAAAACGCCUCGAGCUUGUAAUGGUGAUAAGUUUGUAAAUUGUAAUGAGUGAUUUUGGUCAUUUGAGAUUCUAGUUUAAGCAAAGAUUCCAAAAACUUCAUUAGAUAAAACGGCAAAGUAAGACAGAAACAGAGAGAACAAAAUCAUCUGGUCAAGUUAGUGUCACCAGUUAAGUUUUUUGCAAAAAUAACCCUAAGCACAACAGGUUAAAGUCCGGUUAAAAUAACCUUUCCUAGAAAAGGCAAGUGUUCAAGGAAUUCAAUUUACAAAUAGUUAUGACUUAACGAGGUUUAGUGUGAGAGCAAAUGCUUAACUCUGUUCCCUUCUCUAAAGUGGAAUCGCUGGCCAAACAUGUUUUGCUUUCCAGUUUACAAAAAUUGUUCCUCCUAUCUCAUUUUCCUAAAAACUGAAACAGAGCAAAACGAAAAACUAUAUCGCAGAUCUUAAUUCACAGUUUUACUUUUUACCCUCCUUCCAUUUCCAGAAGCGCGGCGGCCGAGCUCUCUAGGAUGUUAGUGGCUCAGGCGUUAUCAAAAAAAGGCGAAAUCUUGAUGUUCAAAAAGCUUUCAGAAAACCAAUCAUGUUUCUGAAUCUUCUGCUUCUUCUUCAAUUACAGUCGGGAGCGAUCCUUCUCUGCUGAAACCGGGGUUUAGGAACUUGGCCACAAAAGCCCAUAGCUUAUAAACAUCCUCAAAGUUUGACAAGAAGCUGAGUGAAGCUGUGACAACCUCAAAUCGCACAAACCCAUUUUUUCCACCGCGCUUACCAGCUUCUCUCUGCAGAUGCAAAGAGCUAUCUUCCUUGAUCCUAGCGCCCCCACGGUGGUUUCGCGGAAGAUCCAUUAUGCGUAUGUGACUCAAGAUACCAAUACCAAGAGAUACACCUUCUCUCUCAGCCAGUUUCAGAACAACUUCUGGACUUACAAACCCUUUGCUUUUGUCUUUCACGUUGAAAGCAACCGCUGCUCCUCUUUCGUACUUUAUCUUUGGGCCAUAUAUCUGCACAAGAUUCAUGUAUCUGCUGCUACCGUCACUGCCUGGUUCAGGCACUUUCAGCUGUAGCAAAGAGAUCACAAGCCAGUUAAUCAGAAAUCUGAGCCUAGUUGUGGUUUUAUUAAGACCUAACAUAUUCACAUGAUCUAUAUGGCUGCAAACAAUCUCGGGCUCCCUUCUGUCCCAAUCAUCCUCAUUUUGAUUUUCACCAUCACUUUCGUCAUAUACACUGGCCAGAGAAGCUUCACCUUGGUCCAGACUAUGGCUGAUACGGUCCAUGUUGAACGAAACCCGUGUUCCUCUGCUUGGUUGUUCAUCUUCCACACCCAAAAGCCUCCCACCAGUACCCCUUCUUCCCAAUAACCUAAACUCACCUUCUGUUUCUCGUCUAAUUGCGUUAUCUUUCAUAUCUGAAGAAAUCUUGGAGCUUGAGCCAUUUGAUCCAAAACCAGAUCCUGCACGAUUUUCUUCCUGUAUCUCUUGAAUUUGGAAAUUAUUAGAGUUCCUCAGAUUCCGUGAUGGUGUUGAGUUCGUCUCCUGAGUAACUGACAUAACUGCAGCAUCAAACGAGAGGACAUCUUUACCAUCAUACAUAGGACUGCUGUAGUUCUUUGCUACCGGUUUUGGUGAUUGGCGUUUGCUGGUAAACCAAAAUGGUGGCAACGGAGAGGCGAUUUUAUGGUGGUUCAGGUGACCACCACGGUCAGACCCAAGCGGACUUUGACCCAAAUCAAUCCAAAAGGAAUUGUCAGAUGACUCAUCUUCACUGAAAGCUGGGCUUUUCAUCAAUUCUCCAACCGAAACACUUUCAUUUUCUUCAAAUAUGGUACUACUAGUCCCAUCUCUAUCUGAUGUAUUAUCGUCUAAGAGCUCUGUUUCAAACACAUCCCGCACUUGCGCUGACGUGUAUGCACCAGAGAAUACCGGCAUCUGAGCGCCUCUACGAGCAGCUUCUGUUGUUGCUGGUUUAUCGCCAUUUGUACCAACGUCUUGAUCUUCAAGACCAACCAAUCCGUCCAGACCAUCUAUCGAAUCACUGAGAUAUAACGGAUAUUGAGGUGUGAUCUUCACUAUUCCUGAUCCUGUUUUACCGGACUGACUCUGAAGAUUGCCCAUCACUGACUUCUUAAUCAACAGGCAACCAAAACCUGUAGGAUCAUGCCCAAAUACUUUAUAGAACGAAGUGAUGAUAAACUCUGGUCGAAACAAUGAUAACCCGAGUGAAUCCAUAUCUUUGGGACCUAAAGAACCAGCAUCAAGCAACACAUGCCAGUUGUUCUGCUGAGCAAGAGCCAUCCAUUGGUAAGAGUACUUAGAUCCCGUAACACGAGACUGAGCAGGAAACACAAACAACCCAACCGCAGAAUCCUUUUUCUUCCUCUUCUUAUGAGACAAACGCUUCUUCAAAUCCGUGGAACACAGCUUCAAGGUUGGCCAUUUAAACCAAGCAUUAUAAGCUUUCGCGCCUUUCUCUCUUGCGGUCUGAGCCAUCCAAUUCACAGACUGACUCUCAUGAUCGAACAUUGUCAAAAGCCGCUUAUUCGUAUGAAAAGGGUAAGAUUCCGCAAGCAACCUAAACGCAGAGCCUCUACUUACAGUGAAAACAAGACCAUACUCACUCUCAGGGAUGUUCAAAUAAUCCAUUAUCCUAGUCUUGAGAUCAUGUUCCACAGUUCCACUCUCAGCUCCACCAUAAAGCGCAUGGUUACUCAAAUUCGCAGUAAUCUCAGAUAAACUAAACGUACAAGAAUCCCAAUAAUGCAAAGUCUGAACAUAGGAAAAAAGCCCAAAUCCACAGUAAUCAAGACAUACCUUAGAAUCCAACAAGUGAGCAUACUCAUCAGAUCUCAACUGAUCAACUUUCUCAGAAGUCUCAUACUUUGGAUACAUUGUAAGAAACUUGUUAAAAGCUUCAAGAAGCUGAGGUAUAGCAUCAUCAGACUCAAAAGUGCGUUCAGCGGCUAAAGCAGUGGCUCGUAAGAAUUCACGUUGAGCGUGUAACCUAGCCAAGGAUCUAGAACGACCCAAGCUCUCAUCUUGAUUCUCAUUCUCAACUUGUUGAGAUUUAAAGAGUGAACCAUUCUCAGAUGCUUCUUCAAGAGCAUCUCUAAGCUUAUCUUCAUACAAUUUCCUAAGCAUUGAAGCUUUUCUUUUAACAUCGAUUGGUGAAUCAGACCCAUCUCCUCUUCUCCUGCUCUUACUCUUAUCUAAGAUCAGAGCAGCACAGUGAUGAAUUUGCUUCCACAGAGGAAAAUGCAUUAAUCUCAAUUUCUCAAAGCUUCUCUCUUUCUUCUGUUUCAGAGAUUGGUAACCAAAAAAAAGAUCUCUUUUUUUUUGCUCCUUUCCUCUAGCCCAUAAGAACAAAAGCCCUAACCAAAAGUGAAGAUCUUGAAACAGAUCAAAGAGAAGCCUCUAAAAACGGAAACUUUCACAAAACCCACAAAUACUAAAACGAGUUUUGCGGAACUUUCAACAAACAAAAAAAACAGAUCCCAGCAAAAAUUGUGUUGAAUCGAAGAAGAAGAAGAUGAAUUUUUUUGUAAAGGCUUAAGCUUUUUUUUUGCUCUGUAUUUUUUGUAUUUUGUUUGUUGUUGGAAGAUUAGAGAAGAAGAUGAUAAUAAAUGCAAAGCUGACUCCUUUCACCACCAAUCUCUCGUUUCAUUUACUAUACUACAAAUACACCACUCUCUCUCUCUCUCUCUCUCUCUCUCUACUCAGUGCGUUUCUCUCUCUCUUUACAGUUCGGUCAAAAAAGGCAUUGACUUUUUUACAACAGUAGUGGUGGCGUUAGGGUUUUUGAGAAACUCUUUAAUUAUUUCAAUUUUUCUGUAAUCAUCAUUUGUUUAGUUGAGUAUGAAAGUUACAUUAAGCUCAUUUUAUCCAUUGUGAAAUGGACAGUAACUUUUUAAUAUCAUUUUAUGAUGAAUUUUUUGUUUAUUUUUGAAUUAGAGUAAAACAAAACAGAAAUUAUUUUUUAAUUAAAUGAAACAGAAACUUUUUUUUGUCUUAUUUUCUGCCCUGAAAUAACGUAUGAAUUAGUCAACUCUGCUAGUAAAUAAAAAAAGUAAUUCAAUUUGUGAAAAAAAAUAUUAAUUUUAAAUAUAUAAAUGAUUUUCAAUAAAUGAUGCGGAUAAUGAAUCAGUUAAUAAUUUAUUUUAUUUUAUAUUUACGACGGAUAAUAAAUCAUUAUAGAUCAAGUGAUGCGGUUUGUAAAAAAAAUUAUCCGUUCUAACCGUGGUAACUAUCAAAUCCUAUAACUAAGAAUUACAUUAAGAUAAAUUAUGAAUAAUUGGAAAUCAAUUUUAACUCCAUUGAAAUUUUCUUUUUUUCUAGUCAAUUUAAGAAAGUAAAAAGUUUUUAUUAGAUAUGUUGGGUAAGCAGACCAAAUAUGUAUGCGUAUUAAAUAUGUUAGGUUGAGAACAGUGGGAAGAUUCUUGCUCCUUUUAGACUCCACAUUUAUGUAAUAAAAGUUUGCAGAAUAUUAUAUUGAAAAUUGGAAAUAGCUUUAAAAAAUGUAUACGUGUUUAUUAUUAUUAGCUUCUAAUUAUGAACAAAUUGGUAAUUACAAAUGAUUUUAAAUGGCUUUAUUUGGUAACCUUUUAUGACAUUGUAAACAGUUUGGAAAAUUUUGGUUUAGAGACCUCUAAUAAAUUUACUUUAAAUUUCAAGGUAAAAUAAACAACUAAAACCCUAAUAACACUUCAAUUUUGUUAACCAUGGAUUAUCUGAAAAAGUUUAAUAGAUUUUUAUAGAUUUAAUUUUCCUAAUCGUCCUUAAUUAUAUUAAUAACUAGAGUUUAAACAAAAGAGGGCUUGGAAUGAUUCUUUUAAGGAUCCGUUGGAAACAAAAGAUGUUAGACUUUCAAAAUAGAUUGCACAUCGGCAAAGAAACCCAAAAAGAAAAAUCUGAAAGAGUCAUGUAGUAGCUUAACAAAAGAGGUUAGGUUUCUUCUAAAGCUCAGUUUAAUUCCUUCCGCGCUGCCUUAGUCUUCCACCAAUGCUGUUUGGAUUAGGUUCAAGAGCCGCUUUCCUCUUACCUCUUGUUACUCGAGUACUCACUGAGUUAACCCCGGUCCCUGUCUCAUCGGAUAGGACCUGGUUAUGAGCUUCGACAACAGGAGUCUGAUUUUCCUUAGGUAUUGUCUCCAAAGUCAGGUCUUGUCCUGUCCUUUCUUGAACUUCUGGAAGAGCAUCACCAAUGUGGGCACAUGGAUGUUCUUGUUUAUCCUGCUUUGGCGUCUCAAGAUAACUCAAGACCUGAACAUCAACCAAUAUAGUCUGAUCAUCCACAGGAAGCAAGUAGCUUACUGGUCUUGUCUCCAAAUUCGAGUUUUGUCCUAUCCUUUCCUGACCUUUUUGCUUGGGUGGCUCAAGACAACUUAAGACCUGAACAUCCACAAAUGCAGCUUGAUCAUCCACAGAAGGUAAUAAGAAGCUCAGUGACCUUCUAGCUGGAUUUGGAUUCUCAUCUUCCUCUUUCUUCAAGGAAUCACCAUUCUGAUUUUUGAUUUUUGGAAGCUUUUGUACUUCUUCAGGGAGAUCGCCAUUCUGAUUUUCGUUUGUGUUUUCAUCUUCCUCUUUCUGCAAGAAAUCAUCAAUCUGAAGAUUUGGUACAUCUUCAUCAUCAGUAAUCUUUUCUUGAAAGGAAAGUGAUCUCUUUGCAGAAGCUUGAUUUGGGGUUGAGUCAUCAGUUUGUGCCCGUUUGGUUUGAAUCAGAUAAUGUGCUACAGACUUAUACCCAAGUGCAGCUAUCUGGAAACAAUACCAAUAAAGAAAGAAAUCUUCAUCUCUUGAUUCUAUUCAAGAAACACAAGAUAAUACAAAAGAACAAUCGAAAGAAAACAACGCACCCUUCUGUAAAUCGGACCAGUUGGAACCCAUCCUUUAUGAUUCCGGCACACACUGCAAUUGCAAAUCCCACGACAAGGAGGACAAAUCCAGUUUGGAUUCUCCAGAGCUUCGAGCACAUGUUCACCAUAUCUGUUCAUCAACAACAUUAAAUAUACAUUCACCACCAAUAACAGAAUAAAAACUAUAUUGCUAUCAAGUAUCACCCACCUCAUGAACAAACAAUCACCACAGAAUUGUCCUUGGACCAAGUUGCAUACACUGCACUGUGUACGGUAUCCCAUCGUUUUCUGCCUAUAAGACACAUACAUAUACACAUACACACUAAACCAUUAAGCAUAAAUUUCAUUUCACAGAACUGCAAUACAAGUUCUCUACAGAGAUGGGUUUGGUUCAUACCUGCAUUGGUGACAAGUCUUACCCGUAACCGGAUCAUAAACCCGUUUCCCAUCCUUAUCAUAGCCAUCAACAAAACAAGUCCAGGUUCGUUCUGUAUUCCCAAGAAGCUUCUCAUGUUCCUCAGUGUAAAUCUCUGGCUUUGCCCCUUCACCAAUCACCACACUCCCUAGUUUAGAUGCUUUUUUAUCCUUCUCAUAAAUCCCAUCAGUGUAGUUAACUGGAGUUGUGUUCUCCAAUCUAACAAUCACAGAAGAAGAAACAACUCAUAAACCACAAUUCCUCCAGAAAAAAUCUCUCAUUAAACAGUGACAAAUCGAUUCAUAAACCCUAAUCUAAACUCAAAAACCCUGAUUUCGACUCAAUAACCUCAAUUCCUCCAGCAAAAAAAAUCUCUUUUUUAAACUCAAUUCCAACUCAAAACCUCAAAUUCUCCGGAAAAAUCUCAUUUUUAAACUGAGGCAAAUCAAUCCAUAAACCCUAACUUUGACUCAUAAACCCAAAAAAGGGAGAAAGGAAGAGACUUUUACCGAGAAGAUCGGCGAGAAGGCUGAAGAGGAGGAGUCGAUCUCUGAGCCAAAUUAGGGUUACCACAAGAUCUCUUAACGGGUCGAUUCUCAGAUCUGAGUUUGCGAGAGAGAUUCAAGAUGCCUAGAUUUUGCAUCCUCUGAAGAUUCUCUUUGAUCCUCUCUUCUCUGGAUUGUUCGUAAAGAGACGCCUUUUGGGUUCCUGCCAUCACUACUGGGUUGAGAAGGUCCGACUCGUGUGCUUCGGUGAAGAUGAAGAUGAUUUCAAAAGUCUCUCUCUUUAUGGGCUCCUGUGAAGAAAUGAUGAUAAAGUUUAGAUUUUUAUUUUGGUUUGAGGUGAUGUUACAGCAACGGUCAUAUUAUAUUUGAAAAUGUUCAGGGAAUUUGGGGAUUGUGUUGGAGAUAAGUACACCUUAAUGAUGGGACUUAAUAUUUUUAAGUAUUUUUGUGUUUUCUAAUUGCAAAUACAGCCAAGUAAAAUUAGUGGGGGAUGUAGAAAGUUUUAAGGAAUAUAGAAAAAAAUAUUAUCCCAAUUAGUAAUUUUUUUUUCUAUUUGGUAAAGAAUCCAAAUAUUGGAUUUUAUUUUUCUUUGUGGACUUUUUUUUUAUUAGGAAAAGAAUCUAAAAUGUCUAAAAAACAAUUGAGAGUCUCACCUAGUCAACCAAAUUAACACCUAAUCACUUCCAUGGAACGCUCUCAACAUAUAUUGAUUAUUGAUUAUGUACAAAUUCAAUGUAUUAUAUUUGUGUGUGUCUUUUUUUUGUCAAAUGUAUUUUUAUUAAACUUCCAGAAAAUAUUAAAAUGAAAUUUUGAGUUAUAAAUAUAGAAGAUCAGUGUAGCUUAGAAUUAAAAAAUUAUUGUUGUACCGCUAGUUAAACUUCAAAAAAAAUAAGAGUUUCACAAACUUAUAUAGUAAAUUUUAAAAUGUUCAAAAAAAACAUCAAAUAUUCAUUUUUGUAAAAAGAAUACCCAUAUAUAGAGACUACGCUGCAAAUUUAUUUUUUCAAACCGACCGUAAUUUAGUCUUUUGUAUUAUAGUAUUCGCAAAUCUUUCCAAAAAAAAAUAAAUGAUUUAUUUUCCGCUAAAGAAACGAAUUCAAACCAAUUUUUCACAACACAUGAUAAUGUAAAAAAACUAAAACUUUAAGAAAAUGAUUUUUAAAGUAGUUUCAUACAUCGUUUAAAAUGGUCUCUCUCUUUAAAUUACAUAGUUACAUAUACACUUUUCACCCAUUUUGUUAGUUUGUAAAUUGUAACCACAAAUUUUUUGACGGAUAUGAUUUGGUAUUUCCAUUUUUGGCAGUGCUAACUUGGUCUUCAAAAUUGAUACUUUUAUUUCUUGUUUCAACAAACUUGAGCUACUUGGACUAAUUACGAGUCUAAAUACACAUAGAGUUCAAGCAUCCAACAAAUUAAAGGUAGCAUUUGUUAUUUUCUCACAAGCAAAAGGAAAAACUAGACCACGUUGAUGAACCACCACUAGAAAAAUCUUGAAGCCUACCACUUUUAUAUCAAAACGGUCAAACCAAAUUCAUUUUUAACCACUUAAACACUUUCUCACAAGUUUCCCUUCGAUCUCAAACUAACACUUUUGUUAUAUACUUGUUAUAUAAAUCUCAAACAAUAACACCAAAACCUUCUCAAAACCAAGAAAUAUGGCUACGUCAGGCAGAGUCUCUCUAGCUUUCACUAUCCUCUUCUUCUUCUUCUUCUUCCUCUUAACUCUCACUUCUUUAGUUGAAUCUGCUGGUCGUGGAGUUACCAAUGAUAAAAAAGGCGGCGGGUUAGGAGCUUCCUUCAUAUUCGGAGACUCUCUAGUCGAUGCCGGAAAUAACAAUUAUCUACCGACGUUGUCGAGGGCCAAUAUGAAGCCUAAUGGUAUUGAUUUCAAAGCUUCCGGAGGAAAUCCUACCGGCCGGUUCACCAAUGGCCGGACCAUCGGUGACAUAGUUGGUACGUACGAAAAUGGAAAAAAAUAAUACCAACAUAUUCAUCUACAUAUUCUAUAACCCAUAUAUAGUAAAUGAUAUGUGGUAUUACGUUAUUAAUCUUAAGAUAAGAUGUUCAACUAACACACCUACACAUUUAUGUUGACGUUUAGUUCAUUUUCACUUCUUGUAAAUCACUUUUAUUAACAUCAAAAUAGAGUCUACCAAAAGUUUUUAUAGCAUCAUGACUUUUAUUUGAUCUAUACUAAAACGUUCAAACGGUUAUUCAGGGGAAGAACUCGGGUCAGCCAACUACGCGAUUCCAUUCUUAGCACCGAAUGCGAGCGGCAAAGCUUUAUUAGCCGGUGUGAAUUAUGCAUCUGGAGGAGGAGGAAUCAUGAAUGGCACAGGGAGAAUCUUUGUACGUACCAAAACUAUUUUAAUCGGUUUGCAAAUGUCUUAAAACUCGUAUUUACGAGUUCUGAUUUUCUUAUGGAAUUGUAAUUUUUUUUUUGGUAGGUGAAUAGGUUAGGUAUGGAUGUACAAGUUGAUUUCUUCAACACUACACGAAAACAAUUCGAUGGUCUACUAGGGAAAGAGAAAGCAAAAGAGUAUAUAAGCAAGAAAUCAAUAUUUUCAAUCACUAUAGGAGCAAACGAUUUCCUCAACAACUAUCUAUUCCCACUCCUCUCCGUUGGUACACGGUUCACUCAAACUCCUGAUAAUUUCAUCGAUGACAUGCUCGAGCAUUUACGCGACCAACUAACUGUAAGAAACAACCAAACCAAUCUCGUUUUGUUAUUUGAUAUCAUAUGUUAUAAGCUAACCAUCGAAUAAUAUGGUUGGAAUAAUACAGAGGCUAUAUCAAUUGGAUGCAAGAAAGUUUGUGAUCGGGAACGUUGGACCUAUCGGAUGCAUACCGUACCAAAAAACGAUCAAUCAACUAGACGAAAACGAGUGUGUGGAUUUGGCUAAUAAGCUAGCAAAUCAAUACAAUCUUCGAUUAAAGAGUUUAUUAGAUGACCUAAACAAGAAACUUCCCGGUGCAAUGUUUGUCCAUGCCAAUGUCUAUGAUCUUGUAAUGGAACUUAUUACCAACUACAAAAGUUACGGUAAUACAUUUUUUCUUUUUGCUGGUCUAUAGGUUUAUACACGCAUGUUACAAACUUAUUUAGGCCUAUAUGACUUAGAGAUAUUUGUAUCAACGAAUUUUGGCAGGGUUCAAAACCGCGACAAAGGCUUGUUGCGGUAAUGGAGGACAAUACGCGGGUAUAAUUCCGUGCGGACCGACUUCGAGUUUGUGCCAAGAGAGGGAUAAGUAUGUGUUUUGGGAUCCUUAUCAUCCGAGUGAAGCAGCAAAUGUCAUCAUCGCGAAGCAAUUGUUAUAUGGUGAUGUCAAAGUUAUAUCUCCAGUCAAUCUAAGCAAACUUAGAGAUAUGUGAUUUGAUUGUUUGUUGAACUAUAAAAAUGUCCCUUUUGGAACAUUUAUUUUAUACACAGUUUAAUUUCUUACAUUUACGUUUGUUAUACGCCAAAGUUAAAGAUCAACUCUUUUGUGUAUGAAAUUUGUUGCCGUGUUUGAUUUUAGUGAGAAUGCUUUUGUUUCUGUCAAGAUUGUGAUAAAACUCAAAAUAUACGAGUCGUUUUGCAAAUUAACUCGGUAAAAACCGGUUCAAUUAAAAGCCGGUUAUUGUUACAACUCAAACCGGUUUCGUCGGUCUGGUCCGGUUUAAACAAUGUCUCUUUGAUCUUUCUCCCUCUUUAGGGUCGUCGUUAAUGGUUUCCUCCUCAACUCGCCGGCAACAAAAACCCAGAAAUGUCGUCUCUUUCGAAGAAAAGGCAUAAACUUUACAGUCGUUUCAGCCACAGAGCAUAAUCCCCUUCUCUAAAUUGGCCGUAUCUUGACUUGGAUUCUCAAAAGCACCUGCUUUAGAUUUGAGUAUGUUUACUUUGUUUUGCCUCGUUAGCCUAGAUUUCAUAGUUUUAUUGGUUCAGUGCUUGAAGUUGUUUUGAUAGUAGAUUAAUGGAAAAGUUUUGUCCUUUCUUGAAUCUAUAUGAGAAACAAUACUUCUGUAUCUAGUGAAGCGUUGGAGUUUGAUGGUGGUCACAUUUAGAAAUCACUCUGCGAUAUUGGUUAUAUAUGGUGAUGUUGGCGCAAUGUAGAGCUUAAAGUUCGUUCCUUUAUAAUGAUAUGACUGCUUCUUAAUGUAAUACAGUUUUCUUAUUAGUGUUUAUCUUUCGCUUCUUAAUCUCAGAUUAGGCAAUAAUUUCUCUACAAUCUCUAGGAGAAGAGCAUAUAAAGGUGUGGAGAACAUUGACAUAUGAUUGGUUUACAGUAAUCCUGCAGAGUCUGAAUCUCUUCCACAUCCACUGCUGUCACACAGUUACUUGCAACCUCCAGCUGCGCUUUCACCUUGUACCAAGUCCAUGCGCCGUGGCACACGCCAUGGACAAGCACAAACUGUUUCUGGUUCUUCUUCUCAAUUGCCUUUCUUACUCUCAACAUCUUGGUUCAACACUUGCAUACAUACGGUAAGUUUCCCAAAUACUCUUUGUAUAUUGACUGUUAGUUUUUGGUCGUUCUCUGAGAUCUAGAGAAUGCUAAAACAACACUACAUUGAUUGUUAGAUUUCUCAUUUCAGCUAUAGUAUGAAAUAAAGUCUGAACGUUUAGAAAGAUCCAUUUUAGAACAUGUUCAAUUGUAUUAAAUCCAGAUACAUCUUUUGUUGGUGGAACUGAAGACUCCAUCUGAGGUCAUUUGUUGGCGUGUUAGCGUUCGUGGUGAUUGUUUCAGUGACCUUCACAGGUUAGAAGUGGUCAUAGUAUAGGCAGGAAUAAGUUAUUGAAACGAGAGAUUAUAAAAGAUUAGUUGAUCGGCUUAGUUAGUUUGGGUGAAAAACUGCUUAGAUUUCUCAAUAUAAGAACUCUUAUUAAUAUAAACAACACCAGUGAGGAUCCUAUAUAUAUUUAGGCAAUAUUUACCUGCUAUCUUUAAACGAGAUGAUGACAAGAAUUAUUGAGGCUUUGAUACAUUGGAUCUUUGAUCCCCCAUCACUUCUUCAACCUCCUUAAUAUUCUUGUUCAUAAUCCUUCUAUGUUUAAAAUCCUUGGGCACACAUUAUCAUAUUUGCAUACAAUAUAACAAACGCGACCAGUCUCCACCCUUUCUCCAUGAAGCUUCAAGUUGUAACUUCACACACCCUAGCAGAAUCCACGGCAAGCACAUACCACUCAUGGUUAUUUGCCUUCUCUUUUUAGCCUCUUUGUUCAUCUAUUCUUGUAACUAGUUUCUCUGGUAAUAGAAGAUAUAGAGAAUGGUUCACUAAUAUUUUACUGACCAUUUGUUUUUACUUAGUAUUGACUAUAAGAUCUAGCUAUGAUUAUAUGAACCCAUGAAACCUUCUUAAACAAAAUCAUAUUCGUACUGCUAAACAUUCUUCUAGUAUGCAUUUUCAGCUUGUCUACAUAUAGCAGAUCACGACUAACUUUUUUUUUAAUUUUUUGAUAGAAGCUGAAGUUCAUAGUAAUAUACUUAUAAAUGCAGGUUUAUAGGCAUAUGAUCUACAUUAAUACGAUGCUGGAAAUUUUCAGGUAGUGUGUUAUCCUCUUCUUACAUUCUUAUUUAUAUAACCAUUCUUACAAAUAAUAUUAUUUGGUUAUGUCUUAUACAUAUAGAGUGUACUCACCCAUAUCACUCUCAUCUCGCUUAGUGUAGUCGUGAAGUUGAAUUUUGUAACUGUGAUGCAGUGAAGAUCUCAGAUUCAUUUAGGCAUAUUUAUCUGCAAUCUCCAAAAGACGAGUACAGAGUUCUUGAGGCUUGGAGAACAUUGCCAUAUGAUCUGCAUCUUUGAUCUCCAUUACUUCUUUUACUGGAAAGUUCUUGAUCAUCCAGCGCUGGUAAUCCUCGGUUACCGCGCGGUCCUCUCCACAGAUGAUAUAUAUACGUGUAACGGAUCCAUACCCUUCCUCACUGAAGCUUCUUGUCCCUGCCAGAUUGUUUGUGACGGUCGGGUUUACCCUCACCAACAUUUUUGCUAAUUCAAGAUCCUAAUCCGCCACAACAAUCAUCAAUUAAAAAGUUGACUGAGGUUACAAGCAAAUCUCAUUUGGGUUUUAAGUAGGAGUCUUACUUGGACCGGAGAGAGUUGAUACAAAUCCCUGGCCAUGGAUUUUGGUCCGAAAAGAACAAACUCUAGAGGGCGAUCAGGUGUCCCGUAGGUUCCAAACACAGUAUCCAACGAUUCUUCUUGUGGAUCACUUCUGAUCAGCUGAUGAUUUUCAGGCAGAUAUCAGAAAUCAAUAUGAAGAGAUCAGACUAUGCAAUCGAAUCAUCGUACCUUUUCAUAAACAUAAGCAGGUAGAUUUCUUGUGUCCGGCAUGAAAGCUGUCAAGAAGACAACAGCAGCAAUCUUACAAUGAAAUAUGUCAGCAGCAAGUGCAGCUGGUAGUCCUCCCAUACUAUGCGCAACAAGAAUCACCUUGUCGUCAUCCGGACCAAGAGAACUCAUAAACUCAAGUAAUGGUUUGCUGUAAUCCUUCAGAGUUUGAAUCUCUUCCAGUCUAGUCAUGUCUAUACCCGAUGCAGCCAGAUCCACUGCAGUCACACAGUGACCUGCAGCCUCCAGCAGUGCUGUCACCUUGUACCAAGUCCACGCACCGUGGCACAGGCCAUGGACGAGCACAAACCUUUUCUGGUUGUUCUUCUCCAUUAUCUUUUUUACUUUCAGCAUCUUGUGGUUCAACACUUAUAAAUUAUUAAGUUUCCCGCAUUUACUAUUUGGAUGGUGACUAAUAGAUUUUGGUCAUUGUCUGACAUCUAUUAGAAUUCUAAACCAGACACUAUAUUGACCAUUAGUUUUUUUAUUUAUUUGUUUCAACCAUCGAAAGCAAUAAAUUCUAACCUUCUGCAGCAAACACUUAAGUGCAUCAAAACCUCGUACAUUUGCAUUGGUAGGCUUGAAGGCUCUGAUACCGUAUAGAUUUAGAUAGAAGCAUCUUUCUUUUCAUGAAAUCAAGACGCUUUGUAAUUUCUUUAAAGGUCAUUACAGUAUUCAUUACCAUUCUUGCAUACAGGUCUUACAUGAAUCUUUAAUCGUUUGUUCUUAUGAAUCUUUAUUCUCAUAUGGUUGGUUGUUGUGGUGGAAGCUGAAGUUGGUUAUUUAUUUGCAGUGACAAUCUCAGGUUUACUUAGGCGUAUUCAUCUGCAAUCUCCAAGAGAAGAGCACAUAGUUCUUUAGGCCUGGAAGACAUUGCCAUAUGAUCUGCAUCUUGGAUCUCCAUUACUUCUUUCACUUGAAAGUUACUGAUCAUCCAACGUUGGUAUUCCUCAGGUAAUAUAUUAUCCUCUCCACAUAUGAUAUAAAUACGUGUAACCGAUCCAUACCCUCCCUCAGUAAAACUUCUUGUCCCUGUCAGAUUGGUCGUAACCACCGGGUUCACCCUUACCAACAAUUUCGCCAAUACAAGAUCCUAACCGUUGAGAACAGAGAAUAGAAAAAGAUUGACUGGUUACUAGCAAUCUCAUUUGUUAGAAUAAGGUAUGAUUAGGCUUGGAGUCUUACUUCUACCGGAGACUGUUGAUACACUUUCUUGGCCAUGAACUUUGGUCCCAAAAGAAUAGACUCUAGAGGACAUUCUGGAUUCCCGUACCUCCCAAACAGGGUGUCCAACCAUUCCUCUCGCGGAGUGCUUCUCAUCAGCUGGAGAUUUCAAUCGCAUAUCAGAAUACAACACUCAAAAGCGACCAUACCGUGCAGCCAAAUCAUCAUGUUCUAUAUCAAAAUCAUACCUUUUCGAAAACGUAAGCAGGUGGGUUUCUUGUGUCCGGCAUGAAAGCUGCCACAAAUACCAUAGCAGCAAUCUUACAAGGGAAGAUGUCGGCAGCAAGUGCAGCGGGUAUUCCUCCCAUGCUAUGCGCAACAAGAAUCACCUUCUCGUCAUCUUGACCAAGAGAGCUCAGAUACUCAAGUAACGGUUUGGAGUAAUCCAUCAAUGUCUGAACAUCUUCCAACCUGGUCAUGUUUCGACCUGAUGCAGCCAGAUCCACUGCAGUCACACAGUGACCUGCAGCUUCUAGCUGUGUUUUCACCUUGUACCAACUCCACGCUCCGUGGCAGACCGCAUGUACAAGCACAAACCGCAUUAUCUCCAUUUCAUUCUUGUAGUUUCAUCAUCUUGCUUCAACUCUUAUAUAUACACAUAGUCUGAGCUAUACCUCUGUACGGUUUCACCAUGCUUCUGGUGGCUUGUCGCGUGCAAACUCUUACGUGAUCAAAGAGCUCAAAUUUGUAUUUACAUAUCUUUCAAGCUAAAUACAAGCGAAAAGUCUAAUCUUGGAAUGAUAUCUAUGUAAAACUCUAACCACCACAAAAAUAGCACUACUUUUUGGACUUUUAUUACAGUAGAUGACUAGAUGUUACCAAACUCUAAUCAUUUUUUUUGUUCUCUCUGUUUUUGCUUUCUUGCUCUUCUAUUCUAUCGUUCAGAAAAAAAUACUACACUAAGUAAUACAUAAGAGAGAAUCAUAGUGACUCAGUGUGCAAAUCAUGAAAUAUGAAUCGUUAAUUGUGAAAACAUGAAAAUACAUUUUUCUUAAAAUCACUCAUACAUCACUCAAAUCUGGCUAAUAUAAUUAUGGUUGAAGCUGAUUUGUGUAACUAUAAUGCAGUGACACAUAUCUUAAGUUCAUUUUAGGCAUAUUUAUCCGCAAUCUCCAAGAGAAGAGCAGAGAGUUCUUGAGGCUUAGAGAACAUUGCCAUAUGAUCUGCAUCUUUGAUCUCCAUUACUUCAUUUGGUGGGAAGUUCUUGAUCAUCUCAAGCUGGAACUCCCUAGGUACCCCAACGUCCUCUCCGCAUACGAUAUAUAUACGCGUUACGGAUCCAUAUCCUUCCUCACUUAAGCUUUUUGUCCCUGUCAGAUCAGUUGUAGUGAACGGGUUCACCCUCACCAACGUUUUCGCCAAUUCAAGAUCCUAAAGCACAACACAAAGAAACAAUUAAUAAAAGUUAAACUGAGUCACGUUUUGGUUUAACUAGACGUGUGGAGUCUUACAUGGACAGGAGACAGGGUAUACAAACACUUGGCCAUGAACUUUGGUCCAAAAAGAGCAAACUCUUGAGGACGACCAUCAUGUUUUGUAAUCACAGUAUCCAACCAGUUCUCUUGUGGACCGCUUGUGAUCAGCUGCUAGUUACCAUAAAGAUAUUAGAAUCACACGUUAAAAGAGACCACAACAACGCAAUCGAAUCAUACCUUUUCGAAAAAAAAACCAGGUGGGUUUGUUGUGUCGGGCAUGAAAGAUGCCGUGAAGACAAUAGCAGCAAUCUUACUAGGAUAGAUGUCAGCAGCAUACGAAGCAGAGACCCCUCCCAUACUAUGAGCAACAAGAAUCACCUUAUCAUCUUCACCCGAACCAAGUGAGCUAAGAUACUCAAGAAGUGGUUUACAGUAAUCUUUAAGAGUGUGAAUAUCUUCAACUCUAGUCGUGUUUACACCCGAUGCAGCUAGAUCCACCGCGGUCACACUGUGGCCUGCAGCCUCUAGCUGUGUUUUCACCUUGUACCAGCACCAGGCGCCGUGGCAGAUCCCAUGGACUAGCACAAACCGCUUCUGGUCCUUAUUCUUAUCCAUUUUUUUUUGUUAUGUUAUAAGAUUGUGUAAUCUAAGUGUUCUGUAUUGUUCAUUUUAUAUAACCAUGGAGGUUAAACAACUGACAAUAUUUUAAUAUUGACGAAGAGUAAAUCUAAAAGAAAUGACUACGUAAUGCCAAAUUGCCAAUUAUUGAUAGAAAACUCCCCAAGCAGGCCGACUUGGAAUUUUUCCUUUUAAUAUUUUUAUCCUAAUUUUUUAACAAAUGACUUCAUUUUUACAUCAUUAGUUUUUUGAAUAAUUUUGUAUAUAUUUUUUGUUAGUCAUAAGAUGAUUGAUAGAUAUAUUUGAGGCUAAAAUAUCCAAUGAUAGUUUAGAUAUAUAAUCCACAAUUUUAGUAGAGUAUAAUAAUUUAUGUUUAUUAUAUUUAUUAAUUUAGUCAAGAUAGUAAUUAAUAUUAAUAUAGCCUCACUGUUUUGCUAUUUGUUUUUCUAUUAAAAGGGUAACUAAUAUAAAAAUUUCAAUAGUAAAAUUAUAUAAAGUAAAAUAAAAAAUAAUAAUUAAAAGAUGAUGAGGUGUCAAUCCUUCUAGAAAUUCCUUCACCUUUUUAUAUAUUUGAUGAUAUUUAAUUUCGUACAAAAAGUAAAUAUGCAAUCAGAAGAUGCACUAAAAAUAGUAAUAAUGUUAUUUCAGCUUCUUUUUCUGUAAUGAGAUUGAUAGAAUUAUUAUAUAAAUAUAGCUAAAAAGAUGCUAACAAUUUAACAUCGAUUCUGUAUGUACUCUCUCAUGCUUUUUGGUUUCCUUUGACAAACAAAUAAACUAGACGUACGUACACAAAGCUCAUAACAUUGAUUCUAAAAAUUAGGUAGAAAACAAAUCCGGGGCAAAAACAUUUGUGAGGUAAAAGGUUCUAUUUGUUUAGAAAGUAUUUUCAACUUAUUUUUUCUCGACAGAAUCAGAAUUAAGAAACAUUUUUGAACUUUUUUUAUUUAUUUAGGAUCCGAAUAAUAAUAGAGUAUUUAGCGGUAUGAGAAAAAACAAUUAUGAUACAGUACGAUUUAACUACUGUAUAUAUAUAAAAAUUGCAAGAUAUAUACGAUUAAUACAUAAUAAAUAGUACAUAAUAAAAUGUUUUAAUUGUAUUAGUACAGCAAAAUACAGUACUAUUUAUGUACUUUAACCCUUUGAGUAUUAAAUAUAAAUAUAUAAAAUUUAAAUAAGAUAAAUACACAUGUUUAAUUUUUUUUAGUAGUAAGCUAAAUAAAGUAUUUAGCUUUUGAACUAAUUAAUUUUUAAAAAAUAUUAAUAGAACACGAAAUUUAUUAAAUUUAAUUUGACUAUUAUACUCUAGAGGAAAGAAAUUGUUUAUUUUCCAUCUUUGCAUAUGAGGGAAAUAUAGAAAAUUGUGUAAAUUUUCGUAAGUUAAAAUGUUUAUUAUUGGUGGAACUAAAUUUAAAAUUGUUUAUUGCCAAUAGAUAAGCGGUUUUGCUUAUACCGCUGGAUUUUACAUGUAACAUAAACUUUAAGUGCUUUAUUUAUCAGUUGACUUAUAAAAUUGGCUAGAUAUAAUGAACGUCAUGGGUCCUAUAUGUUGUUUUAGCAACAUCUUCCUCUUUCAUUCGUAUUUGAUGAUAGCCUGCUUGUAAAUCCAACUUUGAGAAUACGACCGAACCAUUUAACUCAUCUAAGAGUUUUACCACAGUUCAGCCCAUGACAAAUAGUGAUGCCAAGUCUUGGGGUGAGAGAACAUUUUUGUUUGUCUUUCUACAAAGAAACAUAAAUUUAUGUAGUGGUGGAUUUGUUUUCCUAAAGUAAAAAAUAAAUAAAUUACGAUUAACAUUUUUAAAGUACGACUGAUGGUAAUAAAACAUUUCUAAAUAAAAUCUGUAAAUGUACUGGUGUUGCCACGUUCAAAAUAGUGGUGGAAUUUUUUUUAUUACACCGUCAUUUAUUAAUAUAACUGUAUAAUAAUUACAAAUUCAAAAAUGUUAGAUACUUACUAGUAUUACUUUUUUCCCCUCAAACAUAUACUUACUAUUACUAUUUUAGUGAAUAAGAGUGAUUGACCAAUAAAAUGUUGUUUUUAAAAAAAAAUUAUGUAUAUGUAGUGGUUUGUGUAGCAGGUGCAAUACCAUGGGUAUAGUUGUUUUGAAAUUAAAAGGUACAGUAAUAUAUUAAAAUAUAGUGAUAUAUAUUAUUGGGUAGCAUAGUUCCACUCAUGAAAGUUAUCUCCACAAAUAAAAUAUUAUCAUGUUGGUGCAGAAUUUGACACUUAUUAUCCAUUGAGUUGCUUUCUUGGCAAUGAGAUAAGAUUUGUAACAAUUAUCUGUCAGAUAGAUUUGUAUUAUAGUAGAGAGAAGCCAUACUUUAUGGAUGUUAGUAUCUGCCUUACUUCCCGAAGCUCGAGAAUUUUGGUUUAAACUUCAAAGUUCCAAGUUCAAAGUUCGAAGGUAGAAACUUCAAAGUUCUUCUUCUAAUUUUACAGCUACUACAAAAACAACAUUUGUUGCAUCACUUAAAUUAGAUCACAAAAUUAAGUGAAUUUUUUUGAAUCAGUUAUUUAUGAGUGAAACAAAUAUAUACAUAAGGUUUAGCAAUCAGCAUUAUUUAAAAUAAUUGAUGUUGUAAUUAACUAAUUUUUCAUCAAUUCUACAAGAUUGAUACAAUUUUUCAAUUAUAUUUUAUUAUUUCAACAAAAUUGUUAGUAAAAUAUAAAUUUCUUACAUAGAAUAGGUAAACGCCGUAUCUAUUGUAUUUUGUUAACAUGACUUCUAAUUUUAUUUAUUGGCACUAAUUACUUAAAUUUAUUAUUGUUCUAAAUUUUUUAUCCUACUUAAAAGAUCUAAGUCAAAGGAGGGAUAAGGAGGGAUUUAUAAGCAACCAAGUCUAUAAAUAACCAUAUCUAAAGCUUAGUGGUCCCUUAAGAAGUUAAGUCAAUUCUUAAAUUAUUAAAUUAUCUAGUUAAUUUAACAUUAAUUACAUUCAAGUGGUGGUAAUAUUUCAAAUCAAACAUUUUAAUGAUUUAAAUAUUAAAUUAUUUAUUAUAAAUGAUACAAUUAUUAAAAUCACUUUUACAAGAAUUGAGCAUGCAUUUAACAUCAAAUAUUCACAAGUGAUAAAAAUAAUUAACAUAAAUUAUUAUAAUUGUCACAAAUACUAAUAUCAUUUAUAUAAAUUGGUAAAAAGGGUAUUAUUCAUUCAUUCCUUUUUUUGGAAACAUUGGUAUGGAAAAGUGUCAUGAAUGUUUUUCUCUCCAAAUAUUUAUUUAUUUAAAUUUUAAUGUUCCUCUUUUAGAUAAAACAAAAUAUAUCUAUGAGAAAAGAAAAGCUCAAUGCCAUUUACAAGAACCAAAUAUAUACUUGAAAUGAAUAUUAUAGAUUACUUUUAAAUUAUGAAUUAACCUAUAAAAAAUUUGUUAAAUGAAAAUGAAAAAAAAAACAUAACAGUGGGUGCAAAGAUAUGUACUGAAUUCAGAUUGAUGGGGUCAAAAAUCAUAAAUUAAUAGGAAAAAAUAUACUCAUAUAUAUUUGGAAAUGAAAGAGUACUUUUCUCCAUAUCACAAUUCGUCUUUGUAAUUCAUGAUUCAUAUUACAUUGUUUGGCUAAUCAUAUAGUACUGUGUUAGUAAAAUAUGUUCUCAUGAUAUAGUGAAGUUUUUCUUUUUCUUAACUCUGAUACCAUUCAAUGGGUACCCAUUGGGAUGUUUUGCAUAUGUCGAGAGUCGUACGUCCUUGGUAAGUUCUUCGUGUAGUUUAACUUCUUGAAGAAUAUAAAUCUCGAAAGAUUACAACAACAAAACUGAUAAAUGGAAUAAAAAGUUCUUUUUUGCUAAGAAAAUGGAAUUAAAAAAAAUGGAGAUGAGGAUCAGAUUUUAGUGGUGCCAAGUUAGUGUCUGUCGUGUCGACAUGUACAACAUGCGAGUUAUACUUUUAAAUUAGAAUACAAGAAUGGUAAUAUUACAACAACAUUAGCACAAACGAUUAGGUCAGUUUUUUAGUACAAAAGCCUGAGGUCAUGAACUGAAACCACAGAGAACAUGGCCUAUUGGUUUUUUUUUUUUGUCAUCUGAUAAUAUUAAUAAAAUUUAAAAGAUACAUUGUGAAAUACAGCUUAAGCCGACGGAAAACAAAAAUAUCUCCAGAAUCUAAAGCUCCAACAAAGGAAACAAAGCCGAAAAACGAUAAGAAAUCCCGAAAACAUAAAGCGAAAACAAAGGAUAGCAACACAUAACAGAAAAUGUAAACCCGAAAAGAAACGAAUCCUUAAACAAAAGACACAGACAAAACCCCAAGAAAACACAUUAGUCUUAAGAAGCAGGAAGAAAUCAUGUAUUGAAGCCCCUGAAGAAGAGAUUUAUCAAAGAUGAUUGGUUCUAAAAUAUAUUACAUUAAAAUAUAUGAUUGACUCAAUUGAUUUACAUAUUACAUUAAAAUCCUCAUCUUUUAAAAGACCAUUAAUUAUAUUUUAUUUUCUUAUUCUCUCUAUUUUCAUCUUACUUAAUUUAAUUUAAUUCAUAAAAUAGUUCUUGUGAAUAUGAUUUCUCAUAGAUGUACAUAUGUAUUGAAAAUUGAUGUAAUAUACAAUCAUCAAAAUAUACAUAUGUAUUGAAUACAAUUUCGAGCUAUAUACAAUCAAAUGUACAAGUGAAAAGUCGAAUCUUGAAAUGAUAUUGAUGUAAAACUCUAACCACCACGAAAUUAUUGACACUACCUUUUUGGACUUUUAGAUGACUAGAUGUUAUCAAACUAAAUUAUAGUUGCAUACACGUUAGAUUCUCGACAUAUGAUCUAUUUUUAUGGAUCCUGUAUACUACAAAAUAAAUAAUUGACCACAAAUAAUACAUAAAUGAUAAAUUUAUAUAGUUUUUUUCCUUUUUCUUUUCUCUCUAUUUUUAUUUUCUUGUUCUUAUAUUAUAAAGAGAAUCAUAAUGCAAAGAAGAAAAUAUGAAUCUUGUUGAAAACACGAAAAUAUAUUUUUCUGGUGAAAGAUUAACAUUUUCUUAUUUCUAUAGACAUAUAUAUAUAUAUAUAUAUAUAUAUAUAUAAUAAGUAGNNNNNNNNNNNNNNNNNNNNNNNNNNNNNNNNNNNNNNNNNNNNNNNNNNNNNNNNNNNNNNNNNNNNNNNNNNNNNNNNNNNNNNNNNNNNNNNNNNNNUAAAGAGGAAAACUAAAACUGAUUGUGAAAUAUUAGUUUAUAACAUGAUAAAAAGAAAAAAAGAAUGAUAUUUCAUAAAUUGAAUCAAAUUUUUUUAAUCCAAAUUUGAGUAUUGAAAGAUAAUUAUUAAACAGAAAAUAAUUAUAAUAUAUUUUAAAAUCAAUUAAAAAGACAAUAAAAUAUCACAAUAUAAAUGAAAAAUUAACAAAAAAAAAUUAUAAACUUCCCAUAUACAUAUCACUCAAAUCUGGCUUAUAAUUGUGGCUAAGGCUGAUUUUUGUAACUAUAAUGAAGUGACGUACGAUCUUGAUUUAGGCAUAUUUAGAUGCAAUAUCCAAGAGUAGAGCACAUAGUUCAUGAGGCUUAGAGAACAUUGCCAUAUGAUCUGCACAUUUGAUCUCCAUUACUUCUUUUGGUGGAUAGUUCUUGAUCAUCCAACGUUGGUAAUCUUCAGGUUCCACAAGAUCUUCUUCACAUAUGAUAUAUAUACGUGUAACGGAUCCGUAUCCUUCCUCACUAAAGCUUCUUGUCCCUGCCAAGUUAUUCGUAACUAAGGGGUUCACCCUCACCAACAUUUUCGCCAGUUCAAGAUCCUAAUUCACAAAAAUAACAUCAACAAAAAGAUUGGCUCAUGAGGUUAUAUAUACAACUUAUAAUAAGUAAGCACAAACCCAUGUGAGUAUUACAUUAAGACUAAAGUACUCUUACUUGGACUGGAGAGAGUUGAUACAUCUUCUUGGCCAUGUAUUUUGGUCCCAACAAAGCAAACUCUAGAGGACAAUCAGGUUUCCCAUACCUUCCAAACACGGUGUCGAACCAUUCUUCUUGUGGAACGCUUCUGAUCAGCUGAAGAGUUCAGUAAAAUAUUAAAACCACUCGGACGAGGUCAUACCUCAAAACAAAAGUAUCAUACCUUUUCGUAAACAUAAGCAGGUGGAUUUGUUGUGUCAGGCAUGAAAGCUGUCAAGAAGACAAUAGCAAAAAUCUUACUAGGGAACAUAUCAGCAGCAAGCGUGGCGCAUAUACCUCCCAUGCUAUGAGCAACAAGGAUCACCUUAUCGUCAUCCGAGCUAAGACACUCAAGCAAUGGUUUGCAGUAAUCUUUAAGAGUCUGAAUCUCUUCCACUCUAGUCAUGUUUAUACCUGAUGCAGCUAGAUCCACCGCGGUCACACAAUGACCUUCAGCCUCAAGAUAUGUUUUCACCUUGUACCAAGUCCACGCGCCAUGGCACAGCCCAUGGACGAGCACAAACCUCUUCUUGUUGUUCUUCUCCAUUGUGUUUUUUUUUACUUUUAGCAUCUUAAUUGAUUCAACACAUAUAUAUGGACAGUUACUUUCCCCAUACUCUUUGUAUAUUGACUGUUAGUUUCUGGUCCUUCUCUAUGACCUAGAGAAUGAUAAAUUAACACUACAUUGACUGUUAGAUUUCUCAUUUCAACCAUAGUAAGCAAUAAAGUAUGAACCUAUAGAAACAUUUUUUAAUUUUUUUUUUUUGCUAAAUUAGAAACAUAUAUUUUAGAAAACACACUUAAUAGUUUCAAAUCCAAAUACAAUUCAACAAACAAUCCUAUUAUUUAAUCGAAUUUUUCGGCGAUUUCCGAUAGAUGGGCACUUAGCAACUGAGGUUUGCAAAACAUUGGCAUAUGAUCCGUCUCUUCCAUCUCCUUCACUAAAUUUACCGGAUAAUUGUCGAUCAUCCAUUGUUGUAGUUCUUUUGAGAUGAUGUUGUCCUCUUUGCACACAAUGUAAGCUCGAGGAACAGAUCCAUACCCUUUGUCCGAAAAUUUCGUCCUCCUCGAUAAUUCGUUCAUAAAUAAUGAUGCCGGCCUCUUUAGAAGCAGUCCAAGCUCAAGAUCCUAAAUUAAGAUUACCAUACUAUCAAUUAUAUGUUGAUCAUUUUUGUUUUGUUGGUAAAAGAUGAUGAUUGGAAACUAAAUCACCUCAAUAGGAGAAAGUUGAUAGAGACGGUUCUUCAUGUAAUCAGUGCUGAAGGACACAGACAAGCCAGAAUUGUCUGAGCCGUACGGCUUGAACUCAGAACCCAUCCAUCCUUCUGGUGUCAUGUAGCUUGCAAACUGUCACGUGAAUCUAAAACGUAUUAUAUGCUCUCUAGGGUGAUUGGUGAAAACUAUAGUCAAUAUAUAUGUGAUUCAGUAGUGGCCAUAGAUUUUUUGCUUUGUCAACCACACACUUCAACUAAAAUAAGGCUCCUUGAUUAGUUUGUUUGAUCCACAUAUUACAGAGUUAUAUUACGAAUUUCAUAAAUAUUCUGUAUAUUAAAACUAUAAUUUUUUAAGUGGGCAAUAUAUAUACAAAAAUACUAUUAUUAAGAUUUUUUUGUGUGCACCAAAUUCAUUAUUUUUCAAAAAUACCAUUAGAAUCUAUUUUUCCUAAAAUAUUACAAAACUAAAAUUAAAUUUCACUUUUAAAUCUGAACUCUAAAAUCCUAAAAUCCUACCCCUAAAAUUAUAUAUCCUAAAUCUAAAAUAGUUAACCCGGCCAAACCGGAAAAAAAAAUUUACCUAUAUGAAAAUCAAUUUUGACGUUUGUGUUAUUUUGGAAAAAUGAAUCUAUCAUAGUAUUUGUAGGAAAAAAAAAACUUAAAAUGUGCUAUUUUAGGAAUUUCUCUUUAAAUCGUAUAUUAAUUAUGAGACAUGUAUACCUUGUCCACGACGAAUGAUGGUGAGUGUUUGGUGUCGGGCAUGACAGCAGUCACAAAGACAGAGACAGAGAUUUUUUCAGGAAACUUAUCCAUGGCUAUGGCUAAACUCAAACCUCCAAAGCUAUGACCAACGAGCACAACCUUCUCAUCAUUUGGCAAUGAAGUCAUAAGCUGAAUCAACGGCUCAGAAUACUCUUCGCAUGUGGAAAUGUCAGUGAUUGACUUGGUGUUGUCUAUACCGCAGCCAGCUAGGUCUAAGGCGGUUACUCGAUGGCCCGAAGCCUCGAGCUGCGGCUUAACCUUGUACCAGCACCAUGCGCCGUGGCCUGCACCAUGUACUAGAACAAAGUGUUGCUUCCUCUUUUCCUCACUCAUUUUCUUCUUUUCUUUUGAUAUUAUCACCUUGUUUCGUACGCACACAUCCACACACUCACUACAUAUAAGUAGAGAGGCCAUAAAGCUUAUCUUUGAUUUAGAAAGAAAAAAAAAAACAAUUGUCGCUAUCCUUGAGAUAGUACUGUAUUCCUUUAAUUUUGUGAUUUCACGUGAUAAUCACAAUUUUAGGAAAGAAGUAACAAUUUUGGAACAUUUAUUUGAAUAAACGACAGUUUACUCUAUCGGUAAAAUACUUUACACUUAUUUUAGUCGAAUAAUAAUAAUUUGUAAAUAAAAUAUCUGAACAACAGAUAAUAACUUAUAACAAAAAAAUGUUUUACCCUUUUACAAAGUAACAAAAUCUGAAACUUCAAAACCAUUCAGUAUAAAUUAUUUAUGCAUUUGCAACAAACAUAUGAAAAUGUAUUCUAUAUCAAAUCCAAUACAUUUUUACAUAGGAAGAAUGAUAAAACGAAUUUGUAAGCAAUUUCCAUCAUUGGCAUAGUUGCUGAGGCUUGCAGAACACUGGCAUAUGUCUCCUCCAUCUCCAUCACUAAGUUCACCGGAAAAUUAUCAACCAUCCAUCUUUGGUACGGUGUUCUUCUGGAAUGGCUUUGUCCUCGAUCUUUGCACACUAUGAACGAACACUGGAUCCAGGCCCUUUAAAAGCAAUCCCAAUUCAAGAUCCUAAAAUCAAGAUAAUUAAGUGAGAAGCAACAUGUUUAGAUUCACUCGAUAGAACUAGUUCGGCCAUGACCAGACAAAACAACUAUAGUUUACAUAUGCUUUUGCCAACAACUAUUAAAAUAAAUAUCCUUUAUAUUCGUUUUAGUUUUAUUUUGAGACUUUUAACAUACUCAAACGAAUGAAAACUUUGAGUUGAAAUCUUAAAAUGUUUUGAAACAUAUAUCAUAUUUUUUUUUUAUCUAACAAUGAAAGUACUAAAAUCAUUUUUAACUGAAGACGAAAUAUGUUUAAUUUUUUUUCCUGAUCAUCCCUUUGCAAUUGUGAGGGGGAAUAUUUUUAUUUUUGAACUCAAAAUCAUUGCUUAAUGCUUUUUGAGGAGGAACUCUUAUAUUUAUGGACGUUACUUUCUCCACACUCUUUGUGUAUUGACUGUUAGUUUCUCGUCCUUCUCUGAGAUCCAUAGAAUGCUAAACCAACAUUACAUUGACUGUUAAAUUUCUCAUUUCAACCAUAGUAAGCAAUAAAACAUAAACCGAUAGAAAUAUCCAUUUUAGAACACACAUUUAGUUGUAUCAACUCCAAAUACAUUUUCAACAUCAUUGUAUUAUUUAAUAGAAUUUGUCGGCGAUUUCCGAUAGAUGGUCACUUAGUAGUUUAGGAUUGCAAAACAUUGGCAUAUGAUCUGUCUCUUCCAUCUCAAUCACUAAACUGCCCGGAUAGUUAUCGAUCAUCCAUUUUUGUAGUUCUUCUAAGAUGAUUUUGUCCUCUUUGCAUACAAUGUAAACUCGAGGAACAGAACCAUACCCUUUGUCCGAAAAAUUCGUCCUCCUCGAUAAUUCGUUGGUAAAUAGUGAUGCCGGCCUCUUUAAAAGCAAUCCAAGCUCAAGAUCCUAUAUCAAGAUUACCACAACAUCAAGUAUAGUACUAUGUACUAUCAAUAAGUUAUAUGGUGAUGAUAAUUUCUUAUUUUCGAUAAAGAUGAUGAUGAUUAUAAAUUAAAUUAAUUACUUCAAUAGGAGAAAGUUGGUAGAUACGGUUCUUCAUGAUCUCAGUACUGAACAACGCUGACAUGCCAAUAUUGUCUGAACCGUACGGCUUGAACUCUGUGCCCAUCCAUCCUUCUGGUGUCAUGUAACUUGCAAACUGUAACGUGAAUCAAACACAUAUGAAAUAUUAUAUGCUCUAGAGUCUAGAGUGAUAAGUUAAGACUAUAGUCUUAUAUGUAUUUAAUAGUGGCCACAGCUUUUUUCUUCUUUGUUAAACCACACAGUUCAACUUAAAUUAGACUCCUUGGUUAGUUGUUCGUAUAGUAAUUGUCUUAACAAGAUAAGUUCAGACAUUGAAACUUUUAAUGAGACAUACCUUUUCUAAGACAAACGAUGGUGAGUGUUUGGUGUCGGGCAUGAAAGCAGUCACAAAGACAGAGACAGAGAUUUUUUCAGGAAACUUAUCCAUGGCUAUGGCUAAACUCAAACCUCCAAAGCUAUGACCAACGAGCACAACCUUCUCAUCAUUUGGCAAUGAAGUCAUAAGCUGAAUCAACGGCUCAGAAUACUCUUCGCAUGUGGAGAUGUCAGUGAUCGACCUGGUCGUGUCUAUACCACAGCCAGCUAGGUCUAAGGCAGUCACACGAUGGCCCGAUGCCUCGAGCAGUACCUUGACCUUGUACCAGCACCAUGCGCCGUGGCACGCACCAUGUACUAGCACGAAGUGUUGCUUCCUCUUCUCCUCACUCAUUGUUCUUCUCUCCUUUUGGUAUUAUCACUUUGUUUCGUACGUUUUUUUCUUACUCUUCACACAUCCACACACUCAUUACAUAUAAGUAGAGAGACCUUAAAGCUUAUCACUGAUUAUAAAAAACAAAAACAAAAUUUGUCGCUUUCCUUGAGAGAUCCUUUUAGAAUUUUACGUGAUAAUCACAAUUUAGUAUUUUUCUUUCAAGAAAGAAAUAACAAUUUGAUAUUUCCCUUUGAAUAAACGACAAUUUUUACUGUGGAUUAAAACACUUUUUUUUUUUGUGAUUAAAACACUUUAUAAUUAUUAAAAUUAACGUUAAAGUAUCUUUCUUUUUUGUUUGGUCAAACGUUAAAGUAUCUUUCUAAAAUUACAAUGUUAGAACUUAAUUAAUAUACUCAUCCAGCUGUAAAUCGGAUGUUGACAAAUGAUACAACUCUUGUUACAUGCUUAUUCCAUGCUAUAGACGCAUACACGAAGUUAAAGCAUGUUUAGUCGAACAAUAAUAAUUUUGCAAAUGUAAAAUAUUUUAAAAACAGAAUAUGAACUUAGAGAGUAGUACAGUAUGUAAGAAAUAUAUUUAUAGAUAUAAAUAUCAAAAUUUAAUUUCUAAUAGUCGAUUGCUUAGAAAAUGUUCUACGACUUCCGCACAAAAACAAAUCUUGCAAAAUAUAACAUAUAUAUGGCAAUCAAGAAAAAUACGAGUAAAACAUAUGGUAGGGUGGAUAUGACAAAUAUGUCAUUAAGGUGAAUACCAAACUCUCAUAUAGAGUAACACAAUCUGAAGCUUUAAAAACAUUUGUAACAAACCCUUAUUAUAUAAAAUCCAAUACAUUCUCAUGAAGAUUGAUUAAACGAAUUUGUAAGCAAUUUCCAUGAAGUGAUCACAUAGUUGCUGCGGCUUACAGAACAUUGGCAUAUGAUCUGUCUUUUCUAUUUCGACCACUAGAUUAACCGGAAAAUUAUCAAUCAUCCAUUUUUGGUGUUGUUCUGGGAUAGCUUUGUCCUCUUUGCACACAAUGAAAGCUCGAGGAACAGAUCCAUAUCCUUCAUCAGAAAAAUUCUUCAUCUUCGAUAAAUUGUUAAUAAACAAUGAUCCUGGCCUCUUUAAAAGCAGUCCAAGUUCAAGAUCCUAAAUCAAGAUUACAAAUAUGCAUCACCAAGACCAAAAUAAGUAAGAAGCAACUUUUUUAGAUUCAUUCGAUAAGACAAGUUCAGUACUGGCUCUGCCAUGAUCCUGAAGAAACAUAUAUGGUUUACAUAUGUUUUUGGCAACAACUAAAAAAAAAAAUCCUUUAUAUUAGUUUUACAUUUAAUUUAGUACUUUUAAAUGAUUUAAAAUACUCAAGUUUAGUUGAAUCUAAUAAUUGAAUAGAUAUUUAAUCAUUUUGAACUGAAGACAAAAUAUUUUUGCUUUCUUCUAGUGCAAUAAUUUUUUACGUAGGCCACGAAAAUUGAAGACAUUAUUGUUAAAAAAUGAUUGAUCGAGUCACCAAUUUGUAUUUUACAUUUUUCUAACAUUAAAAAUGACUGAUUGAGUCACCAAUCUUAUUAAUUAGAGUAUUUGAGUCCCCCAAUUUCAUCAAAUAAUUCAAUGAUCCCAAAGAAACUUCAGUUUCGGUUUUGUUUUAGAGAUAAAAGACAGAUAAACUAAAUUACCUCAGUUGGAGAAAGCUGGUAGAGACCGAGCUUCAUGAACUCAGGGCUAAAGAACAUACUCAGUCCGGAAUUGUCUGAACCAUAAGGUUCGAAUUCGGUGCCCAUCCAUGCUUCUGGCCCUGGUAAGUUGCUUCCAUACUAACAUAAUUAAAGAAAAAAAAAAAAAACUCAAAUCAAAUAGUAUUCAAGAAAAAUCUACUAGGAUUUAAUUUUCUACCCCACGUGUACGUGUUAUCUCAUAUAGGCCACACAAUAUUCAUAAAGUAGAGUCCAAAAACAAGGAAACAUGUUAUAAAAGAAAAAAAAAUCCAGAAACGAUUUCAUUUCUGUCAUAUGCACUAAUUCAUUAAUCUCAAGGAUGAGAAAAAUAGUAUUAGAUGGUUGGUAGGUACAUUGUUUAUUUUUUUAUAAGAUUAUUAAAUUGAUUAUUUUUGAUUUUAUCGAAUUUAUAUUGCAUAUAGGUUUCAACGCGAGGUACACAUCGAUACUAUCACAAGUUACUAGAUACAGUCUAUGUUAUAACUAUUAGUUUCUCAAAAAAGAAAAAAACAAUUACCAAUAUAAAUUGUUGGGGAAGGUAAUUUGCUAAACUUAUAGAUAACCUUAAAAUUUUCUAUAUAUAUAUUUUUGCUAGUUUAUAAGCAAUCUUCCUUAUUUAAUAUUUAUGUAAGAUGAACCAUUUUUGGUUCUUUUUUUUUUUUUGGUAUGAUCCAUUUUUGGUUCUUGCACUUGUCCAACUUGAAUACUACUGUGCAAACUUUGACUUAUUAAAAAUAAAGAAAUAAAGUAUUGGUCGCUUAAGAAAAAGACUCUUUAAAUAAACGAAAGAUCUAUAUACAUCAUUCAAAUCAAUCGAUCAUAUAAAAGAUAUAUCAAUUCUAAAAUAAAAUAAAAUUAAAAACGAGAUACCUUUUCCAAGACAAAGGAUGGUGAGUGUUUGGUGUCAGGCAUGAAAGCAGUCAAGAACACAGCCACAGAGAUUUUGUUCGGAAACAUUUCCAUGGCUAUGGCUAAGCUCAAGCCACCAAAGCUAUGACCAACGAGCACAACCUUCUCAUCAUUUGGUAAUGCUCUCAGCAACUUCGUCAAUGGCUCUGAGUAUUGUUCGCAUGUAGAGACGUCAGUGAUGGACUUGGUUCGGUCUAUACCAGAGGCAGCUAAGUCCACGGCCGUUACACGAUGGCCAGCAGCUUCUAGCAGUGGUUUAACUUUGUACCAGCACCACGCACCGUGGCACGAACCAUGUACUAGUACAAAAUGUUGUUGUUUCGUCUUUUCUUCACUCAUUCUUCUGACCAUUGAUAUUUUUCUAUUCUCUUCUAAAACGCACACGCACACAAAAUAUAUAUAGAGAUCUUUUGCGCAUGGAGAGAGAAUUAACAAAAAGUCUUCGGUACGAAGGAAUAGGGUGAUGAUGCUACUCACGACAAUAUUUAUUUAAAUAUAACCAAUAUAUAUAACAAUUAUAUACAGUCUGUCGCUGAUCAAAAUGUAUUAUCUUCUUAACCAAAAUGUUUUUAAUUUUUGAUUAUUUUAAAUUUAUAUCCUAACAUAUUAAAGACAUAUACCAAAGAAUGGACUUUUUCCUAACUCCUAGAUCCUUUAUACAUAUAAAGUAUCACUUAAAUCUAGUUUAAUUAAUACUCCUAUUUCUUUUUGUUCUUUCUAAGUAAUUUUUUUUUAUCAAACUAUGCAUUUAAUAAAACGUUACACUUGUUGUCAAAAGUUUUCUUUUGAAUAAAUUUUUAUUCAAAAGAUUUUUUUUGUCGAAAUUCAAAAGAGAAUUUUUAGUUUUAUCUAAUUAAAUAGUAGGCAGUUUAUUUUGAUUUAGUAUAAUCUAUACUAUUAAUUGGGAAGUACAACUUGAAGCCAAACAACCCCAAUUUUAAAAAAAAUUUCAUGAAAAUAAAACCAUUUGCCAAACAAAAUUAAUGACAGCAAAAAAAAACAAAAACUUAUAGUUAUAUAUUUCAGUUGCCAAACAAAACUAAUGACAGCAAAAAUGUUUUAAUAAAUAAAUAAAUAAUAAAAAACAGAAACUACCUAUAUUUAUGUAUCAUACUAAUUUUGUUGCCAAAAAAGUGGAAAAUUAAAUUCGAAAAUCUCCAUGUAUAUAACAUAUUUAACAUUUUUAGAUAUUUUUAAACAAUAAUUUAAUAUUUAAUAAAAUCUAAUCUAUAGUAUUUUUUAUUUGGUUUAUUGAUUUCAUUCAAGUGUUUAUGUUAUUUGUAUUUUGUAUAACUCUUAUGAUAUGAUAUAUAUUUAUUUUGCGUUACAAAAAUCAUCAUAUAUAUAUUUUUUUUAUAUUGAUGUUUUAGGAAAAAUAAAAGAAAAAUAAAUAUGUUAUAUAUUUUACAAUAGAAUAAAAUAUGAAGAAAUAUUCAACAAAAUUGAUAUUAUCUUUAAAAAUUUUAAAAAUGACAAAGUCUUAAAUAAAUAAUUAAAAUGUUUAAAUAAAAAAAAUCUUCAAAAAAUCAAUAAUUAUUUUUUUUUCAAAAAUCAAUCGAAUAAAUAUUUUGUAUCACAUACAAUCUCUUAUUUUCAAAAUCUUCAUAUUGAAAAUGUUUUUCGAAAAUAUAGCAAAAAAAGAUAUUUAUAUAUUUCCUUGAAAUAUACUUAAAAAACCAAUAUAGCAUGUGACCAAAAAUAAAAUCAUCAAAUAAACAUUUUUUUAUUAUUAACAUCAAUUUAAUAAUAUAUUAACUCCCCAAUUUCGCUGGAUAUUGACUAAUAUGCAAUUAGCAUUUAAUAGUUUUAAGUAAGUUCAGGAAAUCAUAUCACACGAUUAUUAUAUUUUUCAUAUAAUAUAACAUUGCCAAUCCACAAAAAGAAUUAAACAGUUAAUGGAAUAAAAUAGUUAUUUGAAUUUUCAUUACUUAGUAAANNNNNNNNNNNNNNNNNNNNNNNNNNNNNNNNNNNNNNNNNNNNNNNNNNNNNNNNNNNNNNNNNNNNNNNNNNNNNNNNNNNNNNNNNNNNNNNNNNNNNNNNNNNNNNNNNNNNUACAAAAUAAAACAUUAUACUCUAAUUACAAGGUAUACGUUUCUACAACCUAAUAAUUAACGGUAUUGUUUUUUUAAAUGUUGUUAAUUACAGGCAAUAUAAUGUUGUUUUUUUAAAAAAAAAUAUGUAAAUGAUGCCAUUUAUAAAAAAAUAUAUAUAUAAUCUUAUCUUAUAAGGAAAGAACGAGCACAAAAAGAAACGGUUAAUUCAAAAAAAAGAAUUAUAUAACUAUUUCUCAUCAAAAACAAGAUGGUAUAAAAAAUUUGGAAACUUAAAUUCAAGUUCAACUUUUAAAUAUCAAAUGACGGGUAUCAUACAUGAAUAUGAAAUUUAAAUAGCAAAAAGUAAGUUUCAAAUUACUUAAAUAUUUCAAAUAUCGGGACAAGAAAUAACGAAUACAGAAAGAGAAUGAGUAAUUUAAUUAGUUAAAUACAAGCUAUAUAAUGUUGGUUUUUUUUAAAAUGUAAAUUAUUUCAUUUAUAUAUAAAAAAAUAUGAUAUUAUAUUAGAGAGAAAGAACGGGAACAAAAAGGGAAUGGGUAAUUCAAAAAAAAAUAUAUCUAAACUAUUUUUCAUCAAAAACAAGCCUAUAUAAAAAAUUUGGAAACUUAAAUUUAAUUUUAACUUUCAAAUAUCAAAUGACGGGUAUGAUACAAGAAUAUGAAAUUUUAAUAGCAAAAGUAAGUUUCACUUAAAAAUUUCAAAUAUUGGGACAAGAAAUAACGGAAAGGGAACGGGUAAUUUAGAAAAUAAAAAAUUAUUAUCUUAACUAAUUAUAAUAAUAUACAAAAGGGAAUUAUGGGUAACGGGCAAGCUGAAGACAUACUAUUUAUUCAUGUGGGUGGACCAAAAUAUUUCAAUUUGUUGUAAGACAUGCAUAGUGAACGGGUUUGACUGUCCUGAUAUCUAUAUUUAUGUUAUUUUAUUCAAAAGUUUUAAUGUUUUCAUUAGUUUAUGUGAUGUGAUAGUUGACAAAUUUAAUUGAUUUCUAAUUUAUCAGUCUUUCAGUUCACAUUCGAUCCGAGUCUUAUAUAAUGUCGAUUAAAAUAUUAGAAACUUAAUGAUAAACAUAGUUUUUGCAACUAAUCCCGCACGUACGUGCGGGUCCAUGCCUAGUAUAUUAUAAUAUAUUAUUACCAUUAAAUUAAAAUGAUAAUACUAAUCACAAUAUUCUUUAUUACGAGUGAAAAAAUUCUGAAAAUGAAAAUACAUUUGUGUUAACCUAAUAUCAUGUUUUGUUUAAAAAAAUUUAUGGAACUAGAAUUAAUUAGGUUACAAAAUUUUCAAGAUCAGAUAUUUUAUGCACACUGUAUACUGAUAAGUAAUAAGGAUUACUAUAUAUCAAAAAAUUUGGUUUAAAAUUGUGCAUAGGUGAUCAGCUUAUCUUAUUCUUACAAGCAUUACAUAUAAUUAAGCCUAAAAGUUGACUUUUCAGUUUAUAAAAUCCAGUCGAGCUGUCAAUGAAUGCUAUGGGGUUUAUUGAACAGUCACUGUCACCCAGCUAAUUAAUAAAUUUAGUUGUUUCCUCUGUCAUAGUUUGUUUUUAGUAUUAUUUGGUUAAAUUUUGCGUGAGACUUGGAAGAACAUCUUAUAAAAUGGGACAAAAAAGUAAUAAUCAAUAAACUUAGUUGUUAAUUGCCAUAUAAUAAUGCAGUAUUAACUACCCAACAAUCCAAAAUACAUAUCACGUCCAAAUCUACUCCAAAGAAAAAGAUCUUGGUGGAUUCUCAAUUUAUAUUAUCCCAAAAGUCAUAGCUGACCUAAACAUGUUAAGAUACAAAGUCGUCUAAUGAUAGAAUGGUCCCUAUCCUCAAAGCCAAAGAGAUGUUUUAUGUCUAACACAUGAACAAGUAACCAAAGAGAUAAACUCUGUUUCGUCAAAUUUCAAGUCCCUUUUUAUUUGUUAAUCGAUGAUGUUUAAAUACACAAAAUAGAAGAAAAAAAAAACUACCCAUUAAAUCUAUAAUUAAGAACAUGACUAAGUGGAGAUGUAAUCCAACUAACUUAGGAUAAGCAAAGACAACAUGAUCUCAACUCUACCGGUUACAUAGAUGAUGUCGGUUUACUCCGGUUAACCGGUUAUGUUCUCAUCAUCUAACUUGGCUGUAUGGUUGUCAAAUGUCCACUUAUGUUUUAUGUUAUAACGUUAUUAACAUGAUAAAGUAGAAACCAAUAGAUUUGUUUGAGAAUUGAGAUGAUAUUGCACUACGUCGAGAAUGCCUAUUUAUAUAAAUGGGGAUGAGGUCCAUAAUGAACAUACCCGAGAAAUUUUCAGAAAUUUAUAUUAGUAGAAAUCAGAUAAUUAAUUUUAGAGUACAUCAAACUUUUUUUUGUUCAAGUCUUCUUGGAUUGAUCGUUCCAAAGUUGUGACUGAUCGUCUCAUGACUUUGUAGAUAGAUCGUUCCAAAAGACUCAAGAUUUAUGAUCUUCGAUACAUUGUGCUCCGAAUUGAUGAAUAAACAUUUUGAUAGCAUGAUUUAAGCAUCUACUAGCCAUAAAGACAGUAAAUGUUAUUAUUAGAACAUUUUGAAAUCCAAACAACAUGUAAAGUGGAGACCUACCGUCCACGUCUCUUUCGUAGAGGACUCAAUGAUACAAAUAAAACAUGUGGUUUAUAUAUGGCCGAAGAUAAUUCAACAUUAGUAGGUUCAUUCAUUUACUUUUUCUUUUUCCUUGUUUUCUCUCAUUCAUCAUUGUUCUUUGUUUUUGAUAUAUUUUCUUGAAGUAUUAUUUAACCCAUAAUUUAUCAUUUGAAAUUGACGGAUCUAAGACCAUCUUUAAUGGGGGUACCCCACUUUUUCAAAGAAAAUAUUUUAUAUAAGAAUUUUCUUUGAAAAAGUAGAGGUAUAUUAACUAAGAUACCCAUUGAGGAUGCCCUAAACCACUUUAUGUGGAAGAACCUAAACUACUCUAUAUGCAUCAUGAUGUAAUCUUUACAAUUUUUUCUUUAUUUUUUUGCAUAUAUAGCGUGUCAAAAUUCAUAAUUUUCUAAACUAAAAUUUGAGGGUAUAAAACUAGAAAUAAAAUUGAUGAUACCUCAAUGUAGUGUAUUUAUAAAUACACUUGUGCAACAUCAUUAAUUAUCUCAAUUGAUAAAAAUUCUCCGACAAAUCCUAUAUAUAUAGUCGGUCCGAGUGGCGUUUGGAAAAAUGCUUUCGCCCCAAGUCUAAGAAGAUGUAUUUGUCUAGGCUAAAAGUCUUUGAGUAAUUAAAAAAAAAAAGACAUUAUUAGUUCCCUUGUGAUACAUAUAUCCACUUCAUAUUACUAGAAAAUAUGCUUUUUGUUAACUAAAUGAAAUAAUUGAGUUCACUUGCUCUAGCUUUCCAUUCUCUGGAUAACGUAACGACGGUGACUAGCUCUCCCGUUCCCGUCUAUAGUGAGAAGGAAGUACAAUAAUUUUGCUCCCCACCGGUGGUUGAACCAAUUCAACCUCCUACGAAGGAAUAUGGUAUGUUAUCAAAUCCUCAGUUAAAAUGUAAUAAUAGUAAUAAUAGAAAUACGUUUUUUUUUUUUUUUUUUUUUUUUUUUUUUUUUUGGUAAAAGAAUAGAAAUACGUUUUCUCUAACGUUUUCCCUAUUUAAAGUAAAAAUAGAAAUAUUGAGUGUUAGGCCUAUAACUCAAUAAGAACAUUCAUGUUUUCUUUAACGUUUUCUCUAUUCACCCGAUCUAUAGACUUUUGUGUGUACAACGAGUCAACAAAAUAUAAUUUUCCAAAACGUUACAUCCUAUCUUUUUUUUCCUAGACGCCAAAAAAGACGUACACUUCGUAUAUUGGUACCCACAUUGUUUUACCUCUUGUUAACAAACGUCGUCAUCGAUUUUGUCUCCGGGAAAAAUAUAGACAAAAGUAACUUUAUUCUAAUCUUGUUAUAUUGUUUUGCAAGUUGUUAGGCUCGUGAUUUUGAAACGCAUAUCAAUGAAACUAACAAAAGUGUCUUUUUGUUAAAACGUCACUCACACCAUCGUCACCUAAUUAAUAAUAAAGAACCUUACAAAUAUAUUAAAAGUACUUAAAUAAAAACAAUAACGAUAGGGUAAUAUAUUAUAGUUAUGUAUAUAUAUAAAAAAAAAAAAAAAAAGAAUGUGAAUCAAAAGCGGGGACGUUUGGCUUUGCCGCAGAAGAGAGCGUUAAUAGGAGGUUCGGCUUCAGUAUAAAGAGACCUCUCGUCGUUCCAUACACGAACAUAGAGUUCUUGUCCUAAGUAUCUCCUUGACCAUAUUUGUGACCUUAAAUUCCACAUUCCCUUAUUGUCUAAUGAUACCAAUACGCUCGUCCACGACAUUGGAUAUACCUAUUUUUUACACACAUGUAUAGAACAUUCAAAACCAUAUAUGUAUGCAUGCAUGUAUGUACUAGAAUAUGUGUGAUUUAUAACUAAAAUUUUUAGUGUUGUUUUUAGGUUUUUACCUGAAAAGUGUGCCUUGAAACAGCAUCAACCAAAUUGUAACCUCUCCUCUUGGCCAGGUUCCAUGUGCCUGGGCCGUAUCUGAUUAUAAUUCAAAACAUCUUCAACUAAUCUAGCAACCAAGUCUGACAAAUCCAGAGUAUAAAGAUAGUUAGAUAUCGAACAAAAGGCUUAAUUAUUACCCGACAACAUAUGCGCUAGUGCCGUCAAGGUGCCAAGAUUGUAUAGAUCUCUCGUUGUUCUGGAACACGAACUCGACGUACUCAUGAAGAGCCACAUCAAAGACUGAAGUUCCAAGAAUAGAGGGUCCUGGUGUAGGAAUGUUCAUCAUGGUUCUGAAAUUGAACACCCCGGGAAUGUUGAACCAGUCGGCUAGUUUCAGUGGAGUUGUUGGGUUAACGUAUGACACACGGUUCACUGUGUACCGGAGUUUACCGUUGAUCGUCGCUCUUCCGUUGGCUAAAACAAAAGUUCGAUUUAUCGGUAUGGUACCGUAGUGAAAGGAUCCUUGUGGAUUUGGCCUUGCUGCAUUCGCUGUCAAAUUUAACCUAAAUAUGUAUUGACCUUUUCAAAUUAGGUGUUUUCAUAAAACUUAUCAGUUUAGUUUUGUUUGACCAAGUAUAACUUACCUGAUGCUUCUUGCUUGUUUCAUGGACCAAUGGAUAUGGUAAGUAGGACCAAUGGGGAGGGGAUGAGAUGGUCUGAUUUUGGAGCCUUGGUAACUGAGGAUUCCUGUGGUGGUCAGUACUGGUUUGGUAAAUCUUGUUGAAGCCACAACAAAGUAGUCCUUAACUGGAGCUUUCAAUGUGACCAGCACGGUAACAGACUGGCCAACGUGUAUGUCAAGUGACUCAUAUACUUCUUGCAGAGUGUGAGAGCCUUCUACUUCGACGAGAGUCAUCAUAUGUCCUUGAAUCCUAAAGUUAAUUGAUGUCGAUAUCCCGACAUUCGAUAUCCGAAACCUAUAUAUCUUGCCUUUACAAACACAUAAAACAUAACAUCAAUAAAGAGUACAAUGGAGUAAGAGUAAGGAGAAAAAAAAAUCUUGGUUAUGAGGAUUUACCAUGUUGACCGGUAAAGACUAAACCUUUAGAGGCACCAUUUAUGAGAAGGCCGUCCGGGAGAGGAAGAGCACGACCUGAGUCAAGGCUCCUUCGAAGUUCCUGUCAAAUACAUCAAUGAGGUAAAACUCUUUAGAUCGUUUAGUUAAAACCCUAAAAGUAAUUAUGUUACUUGGAAACAAAGUUAACUCUUUGUAUUAGCGAUUUUACUACCUUGUGACCCAUCUUGUACCAAUCACUGACAAGUAGAGUGAAGUCAGCGUCUGGUUUAGGGUAAGGAACGAAGAUGACUGAUCUCUGGUACACGUUAAGUGCACCAAAAGCACCACUUGCUCUGUGCAUCGACGUCGAAGCAAAGUAUACAUAAGUACCGAUUUGGUCUUUGAGUUGAAAAUGAUAAGUCCAAUUCGAGUUUGGUUGGAUCGGACAGUUUGUUCCCAAAACUCCGUCUUGCCACGACAUCCUCCUCUGUUUAAUUCCGUUCCUACGUAUUUUUCUAAAGUAUCAAGUUCUUGUUCUGAAUGGUGAUUUAUUCUAUUCAAUAUUUAGUACUUAUUCCUAAAUUUUUUACGUACCAGGUAAUGAGGAAAGGUUCGUCAAGCUUGUUAAUGACAUUAACAACGAUGUUAUUGUUUGUUACACCUUCAAUUGCAGGACCAGGGAACUGGCCAUUGAUAAGAAUAAUCUGAAAAAAUACAAUACCAAAACAUUAUACUAAAAUAAAAUUAUUGUUUAUAAAAUAAAACCAACAAAAAAAGAGAGACAGAACAGUGUAUAAACCUGUUGAGGAACACCUAAUGGAGAUCUGGUUCCGUAAGUGACAGUCCAAGUGAAGUAAAGAUAAGGGUCCUCUGCGUUUACAACAAAAACUGAGCUGAAACAAUAAGCCAGUAAGAACCCUACAAGCAAGAGAUUUUUCUGCUUCAUUGUCUAGAUAACAAAUCUAAGUGUUACUAUAUAUGAUCGAGAGAGAUUUUGAGAGACUUAAUUUUCUUGAGAUUACACCAAUUAAGGUUGAUCUUAAAUAUAUACAAGUGACUAGCUAAGUCAUGAGUAUAGAACAGAGAGAAGAGUAAAUAAAAUGGAAGUGACGAAGUAAGUUCAUAUUGUGAAUCCCCAUGCAUGCAUAUGUAUGUACACAAAGGUGCCAUUGUUCUUUUGCGCCGUAAUUCAUGCAAUUGCCGCAACUCUCCUUCAAAGUUUUCUAAUCGAUUUUUAUUCGAGUAAUGUAAAUAUGAAUUGUUAGUGUUUGAUCUUGUAAAAGAAAAUAAUAUAGAGAGUUAGAGACAGUGAAACUUCUCAAGACUUGUAACUUCCAAAUCUUAUAUUUUUAAUAGAAAAACUCCUCACAUAUGUAUUCCGUUAACCAUAUUAAUCUGAGUAUCUUGGUAUAAUUUUUAAAAGUAUACUUUCUUGUCAUGCAAAAAUCUUAUAAUUUUGUUUUGUUCUGUGAGAAUAUUACAACUGCGGUAAUGAUCUUAUACAAUAUUAAUAUACCAGCUGUUGUGUUUGGCCGUGGUCGAUGACCCGAUGUCAGUAAAAGAGAAGUUAUAGUCACCGCCACGAACCGCUUCUCAUUUAUUGCACCAUUGGAUCGUGGAAUUUUAGAUUGCAAGUUUCGUGAUUAGAAAAAGGGAAAAAAACAAAACAAAACUCGAAAGCUAUCUUUAGAUCUUCAUCCUAAGUUAAGUAUAUGCAAAUUAUAUCCAUUGUUUUGUUUGUCUUUGACAUGUUAAGUUGGCAAACAAACUUGGUAAGAAUAAAAGUUUUUUUAGGCUAAACGCAAAUACAUAUAUCGAUUACUCAAUUUAUGAAUUUAGUUGCAUAAACUAACUUAAACAUUACUUGCUUCUACACAAUUCUCAUGAGACACUAAUUGGCAUUAAUUAACUAGUUAUUAAUUAGCUAUGUUUAGUUUUAAAAGUAAAAUGAAGGUGGAGUACGUUAAUUACCAAACCGAGUGGUAACUUGUGGACAUGGUGAGGCAUCCCUAAAAGUGUUCACAUUGGGAAACCCAAUUUCAUUAUUUAAACCAAUCCACACAUGCAUGCGUAACCAAUAAGCUCGGUUUUAUCAUGUUGCUCUCCUUGAGAUAAAUUAGUUGGUUUAGUAUCUUUUAAUAAGAGCAUAUGUAAUUAUGUUUUAUAUAGAACAAAAUAGAGAACUCGAUCCGAUAAAGCCUCCUAGAACCGCCAAAUUCUAAACUCGAAUGCUAAAUUUAGAGGUUUAUUCUAUUUUACAUUUUAAAGAAAGUUAUAUUUAAUUGAAAAUAUACAAUUUAUUUAUAGAUGCAUUUUUAUGAUAUUAUUACUUACGAGUACCUAGUGGAAAUUUAUUUUUCAGAUGUUAGAAUUAACAUCUAAACUAUAUAGAUCAAUUUUAUUUUAAUUUGUCAAUGAAGACCUCUAAGCAUGACAGUACAUAUGCUUUAUAAACCCUCCUUACUCGUCACCGAAUAGUAGUCCUACAUGUUAAACAUGGUUUCAUCCUUAUCAAGUAACACAUAUCAACCAUGCAUGACUACCACGUCACCACAGCUUCACAACGACGUGUUACAUCAAGAACUAAUACAACUCUAUCAAUUUCCGAUAUAUCUCGAUCAUAAGCCAUAAUUUUCGUAUUUUUAAUAUAUCCAUAUCUAUCAGCUAUUAUCUAAAACAGCCAUGUCUAACGACGUGACUAAAGACCCUUCACCAAAAUCUGGUAAACGAAACAUAAUGCCAAAAAUCUAAAAAUUCUUCACCAACUAAUUAAAUUUUGUUCUGAUUCUGUUUUGUUCCUUGUUAUUAUUUGAUAGAUAUUGUGGAAGAUGUUUACUUAUGGAGGAGGAAGAAACUUGCCUUCUCUAUACUCUCAGUCUCAACAGCUACAUGGGUUUUACUCAACUUUUAUGGUUUCAAUUCCAUAACAAUUGUUUCUUGGAUCGGUAUCGCCGUCGUCUCUAUGGUUUUCCUCUGGGGCAGUUUACUUCGCCUUCUUAGCAAGUAAUUAAUAUUCCAUCUCAAACUAUUUGGAGAUCUUAUGCAAAGAACUACAUAUAUUUCUUUUUUUAUUUAAAGAUUUUUUGAAAACUUUAUUAUAUACCCAAUAUUACACUUACUCAAUUAGAUAUGUUUGAGUGACAUGCACCAGCUGAUUAUGUUAAACAUACUGUUCAUGUUUUAAAAGGAAAUAUUUCUAAAAACUAGUCCUAUAAAUAAUCAAUGUUGUAACUCAUGUUUAUGUUUUUUUUUGGGAUAGGGUUGAACCGGAACUAUCAGGGUUAGAAGUGUCGGAGGAGUUUGUAGCCGAGACAGUGAGGUCUUGUCGGAUGUUAAUGGAAGAAACUGUUAGGUGGAUGUUCCGAGUUGGUGCUGAGAGUGAAUGGUUUGUUUUCGCGAGAACCAUUUUGGGAUUGUGGAUCUUGUCAAGAAUUGGGAGCCUUUUAGAUUUUCAUACUUUUCUCUUCACCGGUACGUAACUAGAUUUGUAGUACAACACAACUAAUUUAGUAAUACUGAUUAUUUUUAGUGUUUUGCGUUUUAUUUGGGUGCAAAUCUAAGCGUAAAAUUCUAAAAUUUUUAAGAAUACAUUAAGAAGACAUUAAACUAGUUUUGAAAAAGACAUUGAGUAGAUGUGAUUUAUGUUUCUUAUUUCUGGCAUUUACAGGUUUGGUGAUGGGCUUAACAGUUCCAAAGUUGUUGGAGAAGUAUGGAGAUCAAAUUAACAAGCAAUUGGCUAAUGUUAAAGAGAGAUCAAAGGGAGCGUAUGAUACAACUCAUAAGAAGAUUCUAAUGAUGAAGAACAAGUUACAGCAUGGUACAGCUGAGAAAGUGAAAAAAUCAGACUAGAUUACUUUUUACCUGUCUUUCCAAAGUAAAAUAGUAAAAAUAGUUGUACUACCUACAUGUAUAAAAUCGUAAACAAAAUAUCUAAUACACUAGAUUUGAGUAUUUUUACAUGUCUUUUACCGUUUUCACUACAGUAAAACUAAUUAAAGUUUGCAUAAAAAAAAAUUUAGCGUAUAUUUUUUAUCUUCUGUAAGAAAAAAACCUGAUAAAGUUUAAGAUCUUAUUUAAGAUUUUGGUAUUGAUUUAAAAUAAUUAAAGAUAAUGGAAAAAGACAAAAAAAAAAAAUGGAAAAAGACAAAACACAUAAAAUGACAGAAGUAACUCUAUAUCAGAGCCAGGUUUCGAUCCUGGGACCUGUGGGUUAUGGGCCCACCACGCUUCCGCUGCGCCACUCUGAUUUUUUGUUAGAAAAACCACCAACAGUUUAUUUAUAUGAUAGUCUACUUACUCUACGAUUCACCCUUAUGAAACAAACAAAGCAUGUAAGAGACUAAGAGAGUUGUAGUUCCAUCGUAAGUGUCUGUAUCUUCAGAAAUGCAUAAUCCAUAUCUUUCAAAUGCGCCAAACUUCUAAACCGUAGCGAAAACCCGAGGCAGGAUCAAAUUCGUUUUCGGUAUAGAGAAGUGAUGCAUAUUGACAAUGCUGAAUUAGUAGUAGCAAAAUAGUGAGACUGAAUAAUAAGGUUGAUUAAUAAAAAAUAUAAUAACUCAAAAGUGUUAGUAACUAUCCAAGAAAUGAAGGAAAUGUAUUUUGUUUCUUUUUAUUGCGAUUAAGGUGCCUUGUUUGUUUCUUAAUAACUAGCUUCCUUGCUCUCAGAUUUCCUCCAUUUAACCGGUGGUUCAAGCUCUGCCUCCCCCUCUUCUUCAUGGAGAUUCUCUUGUCCCAUUGGUUGCAUAAGAAACUGUGCUUCUUCUGUUUGCUCUUGACCUUCUUGUAAUGGAGGCUGAAGCAUGAGCUGUGUCUGAAGUUGAUCAUGGUUUAUAUGACCAUGUUCUGUCUCUUGACCCAUUUGAUAAGGAUCAGCAAAGUUUCCUAAAGCAAGAGAUGGUCCAGACAAUGACCCACCAGCACCAUGAUCAUGAUUCACAUCCAUUUGGUUAUAACCUGUGGCUGUAACCGAGCCAUUGUUGUCAAUUCCGUAACCAUUGAAUAUCCCUUGUUGGUCUCCUCUGUCCAUAAUCAUUGCUGCCAUUCUCUGAGCAUCAGAAGCUAUGUAUUGCAACUGAUCAUCUUGUGGUUGAUGCUGUUGAGACAAGUUUGGUUCGCGUAUCAUCAAAGGUUCUCCAUGAGGGAUCACUCCAGGUGGCAUUCCAUCCAUAGACAUCAUGAAAUUGGGUGGAGGAUUGUUACCUAGAGGAGGAAGAUAAGGCGGCGGAAUCACAGCAUCAGGUCCCAUGUAACCAACAAGCUCUUCUUUAGCAGUGACAAGAUCUUGUUGGACUUUCUUGAGGUAUUGCUGCAAGAAAGAGAUAAGACCAACACAUCCAUAGAUUGGGUCGCGUAUACGAGCCUCAGCUUCAUAGAAGAGGGAGUUAACAGUCUCCUCGCGCUGGUCAGGAGGGAGAUCGUUAAGGAUCUUGGUAACAUUGCUUGCUCCAAAGACUUUGUGAACACAUAUGAACUUUUGAGGAUUAGUUGGUGGGAAAUACGGAGCAAACACACAUUCUUGUGUGCAUUUACGCCUCAAAAGCUUGCAUGCUGCACAAGGUGUUGAAGCCAUUCUCUCUCAAGAAACAACACUAUCAAAAAUUCACAAAAAAAAACGGAAUCAAAACAUAGAUGACAACAAGCUAAGAUAAAUGAGGCAUGUCUAUCUUUUUUAUGCUUUAGCUUAAAUUACAAGGAGGCAAAAACAAACUAAGAACAUUUACAUCAUCCUUUGAAUUAAAAAGAUCACAUCAACUCUCUCAACAAAAACAAACAUAAUAAUUAGAAACAUUUAGUUAUUUUUUUUAUUAUAUCAGUCUUCAACCAAAAUCUAUCUCAUUUUAGAAAACAAAAAUAUUCUUAAAUCAAAUGGGUUAAAUCAAAAUGAAAAUAAGAAAUAGUACCCGAUCCCUGUUCUCAUAUGACCUUCAAUGAAGUACCUGAAAUUUUCUUAACAAUAUAUACAAAAAAAAAAAAAUAUAUAGAAUACAAAAGAUGACCUAAAAAAUAUAAUUACUGGAUUAAUUGGUGGGAGAGUGAGAGAGGAAAUGAAGAAGAAAAGAAAAGACAAGAGAUAUAUUCUAAGUACUGAGGAAUCUUGAUGGAUGGAUUGAUUUUACAAAGCUAAGGAAAAAAUGACGGAGAGAUGUUUCUGAGAAAAGUUUAAGGAGACAAAACUUAUGAUGAGAUUUAGAAACCUUAAAAUUCACAACAACAAGAGAAGAGAGAGAUGAGACAUCGUGUUAUUUUUAAAUAUCCUAACCGCUCAUGCUAAUAUUUUUAUAAUUUUUUUUCGUAAUUGAUAGAGAAUUUGAAAAGUGUCAAUUGAUAAGUUGGUAGAAGACCAAUUCAAUUUUGAUUAGGGAAAAAAACAAAAUUUAGAUUUUUAGAAGAAAAAAGACUUAUUUUUAGAUAUUUGUUUCAUAUUUUUAACUGAUUAUUCUUCAAAUUUACUAGGUCUUGAUCAAUUUAACAUAGAUAUUUAGAAUCUAUAAAAGAAGAAAAACACUUAGGUAUUUUACAUCAACGGUUCAGAAUUUUAAAUUCAUAAUGAGAAAUUAGCAUUUUACAUUUGCGAAGUAUAUUUAAAACAAUCAGUGAGUAUUCUUUUUGUUUUUUCAUAUUGAAACUUGGUACAAUGUAAUGAGUUAAGAUUGUUAGUUGAUGAUAACAAAGGAAAAUUUCUUAAAAUAGAUAAAAAAUAAUAAUAAUAUCUAACAUCUAAUAUAUCUAUAUUCUUUUUUAGUAUUUACUCAUAACAGAAAAUUAAAAUAUAAACAUUGGUAGAAAAAUUGAGUUAUUUUUAGAUUUUUUUAUAUAUUAAUAACUGAUUAUUAUUCAAAUUUACUUGGUCUUGAUCAAUUGAAUUUGCACAUUUAGAAUUUAAAAAUUAAUAUAAAAAUGUAGCAUAUUCUUAAGUAUUUUACAUCAAAUUUUUAUAAUUUAAAUACACAUAAUAAAAAAAAAAGCAUUUAACAUUUGUGUGGUUUAUACAAAACGAUCAUUGAGCGUUCAUUUUUGACUUCAUUGUUUCAAGUAUGAUACAAUGUAAUUAGUGAAUAUUUAAGUGAUAAUAAAAAAAGUAUAUUAGAGUGUUUAUAUAUUUCCUUGAUUUAAACUUGAUACAAUGUAAAUGAGUGAAGAAUUAGGUGACAAUAACAAAAGAAAUUAUAUCUUGAAUUUUACUUGAAUGGGUGACAAAAAUAUCUUUAUCUUUUUCUCUAAAUGAACUAUAUUAUUUCGUAUUUUACAUUAUUUUCAAAUAAAUAAUGGGAAUUAAGCUUUUACUAUUGUUUAUCCCAAAAGAAUAGGAACUCGCAAUUUAUGAAAAAAAAAAAAAAACAGAGUGAUAAGUGAUUUUGUGAGCAAAAUGAUAAGUUACUUUUGGGCAGCUCUAAAAAUUUGUACAUUUAAACUUGUAAAUUGUAAUAUACAAUAAUCUGUGAACGCUUACCUUUUACAGACUUUAUAUACUUCACUGAUUUACACGUGAACAUGCAACUAAAUAAUAACCUAAAUAGAUUAGGUCUUGAAGUUAUCAUUUUAACUUGAAUAACAAAUACUUAAAAUCUCUGAAGAGCUAAACUAUACACUUUUUAGUACUUUCUGUUUAAAUAAAUAAUAAGUAAUUAGCAUAUUUUAAACUAAAAAUUCCCAUAAACAAUGAUCAGUGAACCAUUAGUUUGUAUCGUUUAACAAAUACAAUGAUUAAUAAAUACAGAUUUUCCCAAAGCAAAAAAUUGUUCGGAAAUACGUCUAAAGUUGUGAUGAAUGUUUUAACUGAUAUUGAUAAGUUCUAUUGAUAAAGAACAUGAAUUUAAGCUUGAGCUUAUCAAAAAUCUGAACUUCUGAUAGUUUAGUGAUAAUACAACAUUAUACCCAGCAUGUUCUUUUUAAUUCGAAACAAAAUCCACAAAUAUACCUUUAAAAGUAAUUUGUUUACUAGUCUAUUACAUUAACUACUUCUCAAAAACAAAAUGCAAAUAGCAUUGAAUUGUAUGAGAUUUAAAAAAAAAAACAUAUAUAUAAAAACAACGUAAUUCUUAACCCUUUUUCAAUUAGAAAUUUCGUUAUCAGUAUGCCUUUCCAUUUUUGUAUCAUUUCAAUGUAUUAUCUCAACAAUUUACAACACAAAUAGCUAAAGUAUCACCAGUCAUACGCGAGAUAUUGACUUCAAAUACAACCAUGUUCAUCAUAAUGAUAUUUCCUUACUAAAUAACCUUGUAACAAGCCUAGCCUGAGUACUCUGAUGCAACAUCACGUAACCUGUUUUUUAGUACAAGAAAACAAAAUUUUGAAAUGAGGAAAGCCUUCAAACCCAAAACCCUUGCUCCCAUUUGGCGUUGUCCAAGUUUAGCAUCACCAAGUUCACUUGAUCCCUAAGACAUCACGACUUGAAAAUUUUAAACUUUGGCCAUAAGCAAAACUUAGAAGAUGUCCUAAGUUUGCGAGUAAUAAUCUAUUGUAGUAUUGUUCAACCUUCUAACUGAGAUCUCUUUGGAAAAGAAAUUUCGAAUUAGUUCCAACAAACAAAGUAAUGCCAUGUAAAGCUUUGUUUCCAAUGCAAUAUAUAUAUCAUGCUUAUCAGUGAAAACUCACAAAGCCAAAAAUAUAAAAUCAAACUUCAUAUAUAGUAUAGAUAUUUCAUUUUUAUAACUAAAAUUUAGUAAUUUAUUUACCUGUUUGAAGAAAUAUAAAGAAUAUAGCUUCGUCUUCUUUCUUUUUGCCUUUGAGAAGUAACAUUACAAAUGUAUAAAUCUAAAAAAACAAAAAAAAGAUCAGUGGAUGUUUAUUUUGAUGUCCCUACAUACUUCAUAGAUUUAAGCUUGAUACAAUAAAAUCAGGAAACAAUUACCUAGUAAAGUUUCUAAAUACUUUAUCGAUUUAAACUUGAUACUAUCUAAUGAGUGAAGAUAUAUACUAAACAAAAUUUAUUUCUUGAAUUAACUUGCAUGAGUUAGAAAUAUCUAAAAUCUAUUAAACUAUUUUGUCAAAUAUUGUACAUUUUAGUAAAAAGAAGUGUGGUAAACAACGGGGGAGCAACAGCUAAAGUAAGAACGGUAUAAAGGUAUAUAGUUUCCUCAAGCUACACCUAAAUACUCGUUUGAAACAAAUUUUAGUUUCAUAAAUAAAUUCUUAGAAAUAAAAUCCACACACAUGAAUUUUAAAUGAUAUCAACAUUCCAAAUUUUAGUAAAAAUUUUAGUAAAAAUUUUGAAAUUAAAAAGAGCAAUACACAAUCUUUUUACGAUUUUUAAAAAGAGUUACGACUGAUCUUUUUAGAAUUUUUAAGUUUAAGUUUUCAAGCGAAUGAGCUAACGUAAAAAAGCCUGUCGAAAAUACACCUCAUUACUUGAAACCCUAUAAAAUAUGUCGUUUACUUCUAUAAAUACUACAAUUUAUGUUCAGCCUCCAUAACUCCAGAAAGAAAAAAAAGAUUAGCUUAUAGCUUCUAACAUGUUUACAAAAUAAUAUUUGAAUAUUAAUCUUUGUGCUUCAUGUUAUUCACCAUCAUAUAAUUUUUCUUUCCUUGUCGUCUAGUGCUUAUCUAGAAAGAAGCAAGAUAAAAAAUUCCUACAUCUUUGUCUUCUUUGUCUAGCCUCACUUCACCUUUUAAAUCAGUUAUAUUCUUUAAGUUUAUUUGUUUCAUUUUCAAUUUUGGUACAUUUGGAAUAACUUUUUUCUGCUAAUUAUUACCUUAGCUAAUUAUUGAAGAUGAUCUUAUAAAAGACGUUAAGUUGGACUUUGGAAAUAAUGAAAAUAUCUUGUAAACUUAAAAUAUCCUGCGGCGCCAAUAAAUAAUCUUAUAAGUAUGUCGCUUGGAAAACAUUAACAACUCUCAUUGAAUAACACAAAUCAGUAUGGACCACAAAGAGAGUUUGAUGCUAGGUCCAAUUUGUUUUCAACCUUAAGUUAUUUAUUGGCUGAGGCAACUCAAUCCGUGAUCGUUUCUGAAUUUGAAGUAAAAAUAUUUUGUAUGUUGUUAAAAUCAAAACUUCACUUAAAAUUAUAACUUUACUUAAAUUAUAUAAAAAAACCUUAAAACUUAAUCGUUAAAUUUUACAAUACAUGAUAGCAUGUUGAACUUAUACACCACUAACGGACCACAAAAGGGACUGGAUGCUCGGCCCAGUUUGUUUUCAACGUAUUAAAAAUUUAACACUUAAAUUUAACCCCAAAAAAAGUAUUAAAAAAUAAAACUAUUUUUGCUUAAAAUGUGAUUUAAAAAACCUUGAUAUUUAGUUGUAAAUCAAAAUCAAUUGUUCUUAAUAAAAAAAAAAAUUAAAGUUAGAAAAGUUGAAAUAUACCUGUGAUCUUUAAGUAUCCUGAGGGCUGAGGCAACUCAAUCCGUGUUCGUUUCUGAAUUUUGCUACACAUAACACAAAAACAAACCCAUCAGCGAUUUCACAAUCGUCAAAAAUUCAAUUAUUUUGACAAAACUAAAGACAACUAUCACGAACAUGCUUAUAUACCUCUGUUCCUCUCUUCAAUAUAUAUAAAUCCUCAUAUAAAUAUUCUCCUAGUCUCCAAUGAAGGCUAGAUUCAAUAUCAUGCGACAUUGAUCUUGACUAUGAGAUUCAGUUCUGUAUGUUGCAGACAGGUAAUAAAAAUUCUAUAUGUGGUCGAGAAGCAACAUGAGCUCAGUAGUAAUAAAAUAAAACAAAUGCCAAUGAAUCUCCCAAAUCAGAUCAGUAUACCUCGGUUAUAAAUGUAGUAAUGCUGAUGCUACAUGAUCAUCAAAUCUUCAUGAUAAUAGAGAACAACAUCAAAGACCUGCAAAGACAAUAUAUAUAUAUACUAAUAACUAAAAUCAAAACCAAGAGAACAACAACAGAGAAUUAGAAACUAAUAGCUCACCAAGAACAAACAUACCUCCUCCUAUCAAAAGGUCUGAAACCUUUGUCUACAGAUCCAUGGAUUUGUAAUAUUUAAGCAAAAGAGGAAUUCUAAAGGAGACAGAGAGAACCACGAAUACUCAUUACAAAACCAAAGAGAGGAACACUAACCAAACACGUAAAUCAUAAGGCCAACAUUGGCUUCCAUCAAUCUUAUAUACAUAUACGCCUAUAAUAUUCAAUGAAGACACAGAAUCAAAUCAAAUUAAUCUUAAUUCCAAAAAGCAAAAAGAUGAUGAUUGCUACUUAAUAUAACUCCUAAAAUUAGAUAAAAGUUCAAUUCUAAGACACAAGACAUCAACAACAAGACCAUAUCCAGCACAGAGGAACAAGAAGAGAUAGAGCGGUACCUUGAAGGGAAAAGAGGAAGCAAGAGCAUCACCAUGAGGAAGAAGCAGAGAAGAAGCAAGAGCACCACCGUGAGGACGAAGCAGAGAGGUAGAUAGAUCUCAAGAGGAACUAAAAGAGAGAGAAACGACGAGGAACCAAAAGCCUCGACGACCACAAGGUCUCAAGCCACACCACCGUUUGAUCUCUCUGCUUCAUAUCUUUCUCAGCCUAGAUCAUCGAACCAUAUCUCAAAAGUCACAACAACAAAUCAACGAGAGAAAGCUAAAGGUACAAGCUUUUUCAGCAAAGAGGAAUCAGAGAAUCUAAAGGUACAAGCUUUUUCAGCAAAGAGGAAUCAGAGAAUCCAAAGAGAACAAACAAAGGAGAUUGAUUUAGUUUUGGUUUAGGGUUUAGAAGAUGAAGAAGUAGAAGUGGUGAGAAACAGAGAAUUUUGAUUUCUCUCGAGCAAGGAGAACGAAGAAGAAUCGUUAGAACUAAGAGAGAUUAGUUUAAUAAACAGAGCAGUGUACCUUGAAAGGGAAAGAGGAAGCAGCAACACCACCAUGAAGACGAAGCAGAGGUAGAUAGAGAUCCCAAGACGAACCAGAAGAAGAGGAAUCAAAAGCCUCGAUCAUCACCACCAUGUCUCAAACCUCAGCAUUCUAUGAUCGCCCUGUUUCUCGAUCAUCAAACCGAAUCUCACAACAACAAAUCAACCAGAGGAAAUCUAUAAAGGUAGAAGCUUUACACCGAUGAUGAAUCAGAGAAUCGAAGGCGAAGAGUGAUAUGCUUUGUUGUUCGACAAGAGAACGAACUAAGGAGAUUGAUUUGUAGGGUUUAGAAGAAGAAGAAGAAGAAGAAGAAGAAGAAGAAGAAGAACAAGAAGAAGAAGAAGAAGAAGAAGCGUUGAGUCGAGAGAAACAGAGAAUUUUGAUUUCUUGAUCAAACGGAAGAAUGGAGAAGAAGCAUUGAGUUGAGAGAAAGAGUAUAUUUUUAAUAUUUAAAAGCAAAAUUAAUUAAGAAGUUAAUUAAAAGAAAAGAAAAUUGAUAAUAUAUUAAUAUCACAAUCACAACGGUUAUAUUAAUAUGAGUUUAAGGAAAUCAAUACCAAGAUUUUGUUUCCGUUAAUUUUUUUCCAUCACAACGGUAACAAUUUAAUUUCAAAAUGUAAAACAUUUAGAACCUUGUUUAAUUUUAAAAGAGAAUUUAUCGAAAAAUAGAUAUAUUUAGUUUUCAAUUAAAUAUAAAAUACAAAUAUUAUUGUUACCAUUGAUCAAUUGAAACGUUAUGUAAAGCUAAAACUUAUUAUUAUAAGAGCCACACAAUUUAGUUAUUUUUUUUUUUGUCAACCCACACAAUUUAGUUAUUUUGCAUGGAAAUAAAAAGGGAAAAAAAUCGAAACUAAAACAAAAUAGACCACAUAGUUCCUAUCUUCUUCAUCUCUGAGUUUAUGAUAUUACAAAACUUUGAUUUAACAUAAAAAUUAUUUAGACAAAUCUUUUCUUUAAUUCCCAAACAGAAAAGUACAUUUCAAUCCUAGGAUUUCUGAGCUUCUGGUCCUAAAAUCCCAUUCACCACUGACGUGGCGACAAGAACUCCGACUAACUCAGCAGCCACGACUGCUCCGGCCUGUGUCAAUCCAUUAAAACUAACCGCCGUCACAAUUUCCUCCUCCGCCGUCUCUACACCUCUCUCCGCCGCUUCUAACCCUCUCUCCGCCGCAUCAACACCUUUCUCCGCCGUCUCGAAGCCUUCUUUAACGAUCUCCACCGCUUCUUCUUCUGCUUUCUUCAGCUUCUUUCUUAUACCGAAGAACGGAAUAUUCUCCGCCAUUGAUGCUGGCUGAAGUCCCGUCACCACCGUCGCUGCCGUCAAAGAAAACAACAGGUUCCUACGAGACGCGCCGGAUAGUGAAAACGAAGGAGGCGCUGGUUUGCUAAGAUGCGCGGCUCGUGGUGGGCUAACAUGCGCACGUGCCUUGAGAGCUCCGCCGCCGCCGCUGAGGAGAGAAAGCGAAAGAGUCGAAGCCAUUUUUUUCUAUGAUGAUCGAUAAGAAAAAUGCUAAGCCAAGCAAAAUUGAUCAAUGUGAUGUGAUACAGAAAAAUUAAAUAUAUAAGAUAAACCAUAUAAUUUUAUUGACCAAUUGACAUGCCACGUGGUCUUCUUUUGGAGAUGAAAAUUUUGUGUCACUCUUUUAAUAUUUCUACUAACUAUGAGAAAACAAAUAAGUUAAUAUAAAUUUAACUCAUUAAAUACAAUUUUGAUAUUUUAAAUAUUUUUUUCGGUUUAACAAUAUCAAGUAGAAUCGCUAGUGAUUCCGGAUGCAUCGAUUAUUCAUAUAGUUGCUAUAUACUGAUUACUGAAUGUUUUGAGAGAUGACUAAGAUAUAGAGAAUGUAGUGUAUGAAUAAAAAUUGAUUUUUUUUUUUAUACUGAAAUGCCAAAUCAUUCUGAAACUAAAUCUGAAUUAUUUUGAGCUAAAUCUUUUAAACUAAACAAAAAUCUUUAGUUAUAUAGAAAAACAAAUAAAAGUUCACUUUUAAAAAAAAAAUAUUGAUGGUAUUAGACAAAUAUUCUUUCCCACAUGACAUAAAUUGCAAAAAAUGGAUGGAAACAUACUUGUCUACAUGACAUAAAGAAAAUCGAGAUACCGAAGCGCAAAGAUGAUGCAGUGCAAGCCUUUUUUCUUGAUGGGCCUUAUCGAGUGAUUUCUUGCCCAUCAAGCUAUUUAGUUAUUUGUUUUCUUUCCUUCUUCUUAAUUUCUUAGGAUUUGCAUAAUUUUUGUUGCAUUUGGCUUCAUCUUCUACGAUCUAUCGAUUCUCUAUAAUUAGAGUUGCGAACAACAUGUAAGAUAUAUUGGAUUUGCAUUUAUAAAGAAAACCAAAAAGCGAAGUCUUAACUUUGUACUUCACCCUAUACCACAAGAGAAAAUUGGAAACAUACCUGUAUAUAAGAACAAAGUUCUAAACAAUACAAAAUCUGAAAUUGGAAAAAUUAGUUAAAGAAUGAACUACAUUAAGAGUAUAAGAAUUGUGUCAUGAGUUUAAACAAGACAAUAAGAAGUGUGUCAUGAGUUUUAACAAGACAAUAAGAAUUGUGUCAGAUAAAAACCUAUAUUAAACAAGACAAUAAGAAUUGUGUCAUGAGUUUUAAAAUCGAGAAUUUCCAGUAAAAUUAUUGAAGAGAAAUCUUUCUUUUUAUCAACUAAUAAUAAUAACGAGUUGAGAAAUUUUCUAACAAAAUUCAAAGGACAUAAACAAAAACUCUACCAAAAAAAAUCAUAAGUGAGAAGCACACAUGUUAACCACGUGAAUUACUUAGUGAUAUCUACUGUUUUUAUUGGUUUUUAAGCAUUGUUUAUAAGUUAGUUUCAUGCAUUUUUCAUCAUGUUUAGUGUGUUUAGGAUUGCAAUUUGCAUUAGUUGAGUCUUUGUAGGUACUUGGAGGUUCAUUAAGAAGUUUGGAGCUUUUAAGGUAAAAAAAAGAACUUAAUUGAAGCAUUUUUAGCAAUAAUGAUGAUGGAGGAACCAUGGAAUGAAGCAAGUGAAUCAAAGAAGCAAAAAUGGACCAAAGAAAAGGAGAAACAAGGAGGUGAAGUGUCUCGCCCGAUCCGGUUGGUCGAGCACUCGGUCGUGUCGUUCAAAGAUCGAUCCGAAUGAAGGUCUUUUCUUGAGAUUUAGCUUCAGAGUCCUUAAUCAAAGUUGUAGGAAAUUGAAUUAGCUUUCGAAUGGUGGUGGUUUCAAGUCAAUCCAAGCUGUCGUUAAAGAUUUAUCGCUAUUUUACUGGACGUAUAUACACCGUGUCCGACCAGACUGGUCGGGCAUGAGGUCGGCGGGCCUAAGGAAUUCUCAGAACAAACCUGAAACGAAAUUGAAGAAACUGGUGCUCGACCAAAGGCCCGACCGGGCAUGAAUAGUGCCAAAUUUUGACCUGGUUUAAUAGGGGUUGACCCGGUUUUCUUGUAAUCUUUCUAUAAAAACCUCAAAAACUUCAUUAUUGAGGAUCUAUGCUAUCUUUUGUGCUUGUUUUCAAUUUCUUUUCUAUCUUUGGAAUAUUUGUAUGAAUCUUAAGUAAAUUUAUGCAAUUUAAUCUUGUUCUCUUUUAGUUUUAUCUUCUACUUUUCUCUAAUUAUGUUUAUUCAAAGAUCAAUUUCAUUGCUUUGUGGUUACAUGAUCAUGAGUGAGUAGUCUUUAAGAGUUCUUGGGUUUUGGUAGAUUUGGAUGAUUUAGUAGUUGGGUUAUAGAGUUUAGGAUUAGAUUGUUUAAAAUCAUUGCUUAUUGGUUGCUAAUAAGGCUAAAUCAACCUUGAUUAUGUUGAUUUAGAGCUUAGGAAUUUCACGCCCGGAAGGUGUUCGAUGAAAUUCCUGAACCAAAACUUUUUUAAGUGUUUUUCAUUCCUAUCCUUUGGAAAUUGUUGAUUAGGGUGAUUAGUGGUUAGAUAGACUUGUUUAUAAUGCUUAUUGAUCAUUUGAUUACCUUUGAAAGAAGUUGAUAAUUUAUUGAUUAGUAAAGAGAUUAAUGUCAUGAAAAUGUGUUAGUAUUGCUUAGUGUUCUAUGUCCUAAGGACCAUUCUUUGUUAUAAGUUGUUUGAGACUCCAUAACACAUCUCUUUGUCAUUCUAGUCAAUUGCCUUAAUCCGAGAAUUCGUCUUUAUUUAUUGCUUAGUCAAUUGCUCUUUUCCCGCUUUGUUUCAAGUCGAAUAUUGUUAGUCUUUUGAUUAUUGUUUUCUUUCAUCUUGUUUUGCAUUUCUUGAUUUAAAUUACAUUGUUAGUUACAUUUAGAAAUCAUAGCUCAUCUCUUAUUAAGCAAAUUUGUGUACUCUUGUGUGUUAAUUAGUUGCUUCUUGAGGUUCGAUAAUUUAAUUGAUAGGGUAAAAUUGCUACAUCACUUAGCAACAAAUUAGGACAAGAAAUUAGGGAAUCUCAUUUACAAUGUCUAAUUUAUCAAGAGAAUUAAAGCAAUAGAUUAUUUGACUAAGUUACGUAUAACAAGUUAUUUUAUAAAUUGGAUGUUUAAAAAGGAAUAUUAAUGUUUUUAAGAACAAUUAUCUUGUGGUUAAAAUGAAAGGAAUAAAAUUUUCCCAAAUACACAAUAAUACAUUCUUGUGUGCAUUUAUAUCUCAAAUGCUUGCAUGCUGCACAAGGUGUUAAAGUCAUUCCCUCUCAAAAAACAACACUAUUAAAAAAUUCACAAAAAAAAAUGGAAUCAAAACAUAGAAAACAAGCUAAGACAAAUGAGACAUGUCUAUCUUGAAGCACAAGAAAUACAACCAUAUAUGCUUUAGCUUAAAUGACAAGGAACCAAAAACAAACUAAGAACAUUUAGAUCAUCCUUUGAAUUAAAAAGAUCACAUCAACUCUCUCAACAAAAACAAACAUAAUAAUUAGAAACAUUUAGUUAUCAACUAAUAAUAAUAACGAGUUGAGAAAGUUUCUAACAAAAUUCAAAGUACAUAAACAAAAACUGUACAAAAACAAAAUCACAAGUGAGAAGCACACAUGUUGACCACGUCAAAUACUUAGCAACAAAUUAGGACAAGAAAUUAGGGAAUCCCAUUUACCGUGUCUAAUUUAUCAAGAGAAUUAAAGCAAUAGAUUAUUGACUAAGAUAACAUAUGUAUAACAAGUUAUUUUAUAAAUUGGAUGUUUAAAAAGGAAUAUUAAUGGUUUUAAGAACAAUUAUCUUGUGAUUAAUAUGAAAGGAAUAAAAUAUUCUCAAAUACACAAUAAUAUGAUCUAUUACAUUCUUUCCUAAUACUAUAUUACAUUCCUUCUUAAUACUGAACAUUUUACCGCAAAAUAGCUGUUUACAACUGUUACGGGUUCAUUGAUUUAUAACUCCUAUGAGAUUUGUAUACUCUAAUUGAUUUUGGAACCAAUUUUUAACUAUUAUGGUUUAUUCACAUAUUUGAAUCCUUCUUCUUCACUUUCAAAUUCAUUUAAGAUUUAAUGUAGAUUUCUAAAUCCAACAUUAAACCAGUAAACCAGUAGCAAAUGAUUUUAGUAUUUAGAAAUUAAUUGGUUUCCAAAAAUAAAAAAUAAUUAAUUAACAAACGUGAUUUUGAAAUCAAUAAUCCUAGUAAUGGUCAUCUUGCUCCUAUGAUGGGUCGCGUCCUUUCAUAUAGUUUCGUCAAAUCUUUCAUGUCUUAAUAUAUAUUUGUGAUCGUUUCAUAUUUUUCUUUUGUUUUUAUUUGUUUGUGAAGUCUUAAGAAUAAGAUCGAACAAAGUGGGAGUACUCAAACAACAUUUUUUUACUUCACUUUUAGAUCGUUACAUAUUCGCUAGCCUUCCUCCCACUUAUUUUCAAGUUAUUGAGUUAACAAUCAAUACACACAUAAGUAAGGAUUUUUGUUAUUAUCUCAUGAGCAUGUGACAAUGAUCGGCGUUAAAUAUUCAUUUUGAAAGGUUUGGGAAAUGGACAGCCCCGGCUCAACAUUUUUCUAGUCCCUUGGGCAAAAUUUUUUUUUUUUUUGCUAUUUUUUAAAUAAAAUUUUGUUUUGAGAUUUUUUAAAAUUUAAAGUUAAAUUUUGGACCUUUUUAAGAAAAAUUACACUAUUAUAAAACUUUUUUAAAUUAUAUGGGCUUUUAUAAAAUAAAAUUAAUAGUUUUUAAAAAAAUCUAAGCCCUUUUACUAAAACUUUUGGACCCUUUUCUUAUGUAAAUUUUUUAAAAAAUGUCAUAGUCCCCUGGGCUGUGAUUCCUUUGCCCACCCCAUUUGGGCCCAUCCAUUUCAAAUGUAUCGGUAUCCUCACAGUUUAUUUUAGCCUUUUCCGGUACGCAAUUUUAGAACAGUACCAUCAAUAUGAUAUUAAUCUUCAACAUUUAUGAAUGGUAAUGUUAGAAAAUAGUUUGGGAAAUGAAUUGUCAAUUUAGUAAGAAUUUCUAGAGGUGCACAUACAUACUAAACGUGCUAAUAAAUAAUGAGAUAACAUAAAUUACGACUCUUAUGCAUUGACGAAAGUUUUACGUGGUGACAAUGUCUAAUGUAGUUGCUUACAAAGCCAAGGAAGGUAGAUGGAGCCUCGUUGGACCAAAAAUGAUUAUGAAACAUUUAUUGGGUUUGGUAGGACUCCCAAGUUCCAUCUGGUGUUUGUUUUAAAUUGGCUGAUUCUGGUGGAAACAAUGAGAUUUUACGAGUUGAGAUGUUUGGUUAUGGUUUAGGCUAAAAACAAAAAUCUGUGAGCCGAUUAUCGACCAAGGAUGAAUAUCCGUUAGAAAUUUGGUCGUAAAGCAAGAUUUCGUCAAGAAAUUACCGACUAAUUACCAAUUAAGUUUUAUAUUCGUCGAUUAACGGUUGGAAAUUGGUCCAAAUAUAUGCCAACCUAUAAAUUCGUUCUUAUUUUGAGGUUAGAUAGUUUAAGAUCACUUCUGUUGUACCCGCAUAUAAAAAGCGCUUUGAAGUGAAUAAUAAUCAUCUUAGAGCAUAUAUAUUAGCGUGUGUACACACUGUCCUACACAAAAAAACAUUUAAAUUUAAAUCAAAAAUAGAAAAAAAAAUAAGAAACGUACUUACAAAGUCACAAUUGCGACGUCCUCUACUCUCUUUCUCAACUGUUUAUGGGCCCCACUGACACGUGCCGGUCUGCGAUUGGUCACCUUUUGUUUUUUUUUUUUUCUUUUUUAAAGACUAAAAGUAAGAAAAAAAAAGUUUAAUGGGACAAAAAAAAAAAAUGAACCGAUGCACAUGGUCUUAGAGCUUUGCAUGCAAAUAAAGUUCUUAGCAUAUUGUAUUGUAGUCAUGGAAUUUUCUUCUCCACACUUUUUCAACUAUGGAUGUCUUAUUAAUUAAUAAGAUAUAUAGGAUUAAUAAUAUUAGCAAGUCCGUGACAAAACUAAUAAUAAGAUAAGUAAACACAACGGCGAAGACUUCAGUUUGGAGUCUUCUUGUUCUGUCUCUCCUUUUUUACAACUUGAGUUGUGCUUUGCUUCUGUUUUUGGUAUCAAAAAUGGAAAAGAUUGAGUUUCUGGGUGAGAUUCAAGUCACCACAGAGAGGCUAAUCCACAGCAACGGAGUUCUAGCUAUAUUCACCUUAUCCCUAAGAUGGAUCGCGUCUUUGGCUGCUGUGUAAGAAACUAAGAUGGUUUGUUUUAUGUCUUAAACUGUUUGAUUUAUGUAUAACUUACACUUUUUUUUUUUUUAAUAUGCUUCAUAUGUUUUAUUUGUGGGUUAAAGUUUGCUGAUGAUUUUGGAUGGAACGAAAUGGAAGUACUCAAACAACAUGUUGACUUCACUAUUAGCUCCUUACCUCUUUGCUAGCCUUCCUCUCGUUAUCUUCCAUUUCUUAAGGUAAAGUUUUUGUUCUUGGUUCUUGUACUUGUUUUUGACUCUUGAACAUGUAUAACAGUUGGAUUAAAGUAUUCUAUAUGUAUUGCAGGGCUACAGAAUUUGGGAAGUUGAUGGCACUCCUCGCAGUUGUUUUCAGGCUUUUCUUACCAAAUCAUUUUCCUGGUACGCAAUUUUCAUAACUGUACCAUUGGAAACAAUAUUGAUUAUGAUAUUAAUAAUCUUUGAAGUUUAUAUAAAGAUGCUAGAGAGCAAUUUGGGAUUUCUAACAUUAGUAUUGAGCCUCUAAAAUUUUUGACAUUUUGAGUAAGAGAAAUAGGCCCAAAAAAUAUUUUGUUUUCACAAUAUUAGGUCCCAAAUUUUAUUUUAUUUUUUGUAAAAUUAUGCCCCAUUUUUAUUAAAUUUUAAAUUUUGGUUUCCGUGUUUUAAAUUUUAUCUAUUAGCAGAAAAUAUGUCCCAUUUUUAAAAAUUUUAAAUUUUAUCAAUAAAACCUAUUUAAAAAAAUUAUUUUGUUUUGGGCCCCAAACUUCACAUGGCCGUCACUGAAGAUAUAGUAGAGAAUCCCGUAAAAUUCCUUAUAUAAGAGCUCAGAAUUAAAUGCUUUAACUAGGGUUAACAUACUCAAUAUCCAUUCAAAUCCAUCAAUCCCAUUUAAGUAUACAAUUUCGGUGAUAACAUGCAAUUUUGUGGUUUUGAAUUUUGGAAUCUCAUACAAGUUUAAAAACCUUGCAGAAUCGCUAGAGAUACCAAGUGCAACGGUUCUUCUUAUUGUGGCUACACCAAUAGAGUUGGUGGCUGCAUUCAGAGACGGCCUAAGAUAUACGGGAGCUAAUUUAUGCCUUAUCGGUAGCAUUUUUCUUCUUAGUAAACACAUUAAAGCUUGUGAUGGAUACAAAAACGCAUUCACUCACAAGGACAAAAUCACUUACACCAUUUGUAUUUUUAUUCUCGUUUUCUACCUUCUGUUCACCUCAUUUGCUUCCUUAUUCUACUAAGGAACCCAACGGUCUUGCUCAUACUGACAGACUGUGAUUGUUAGUCUUUUAAGUAUAUCAAGAUUUUGAAUCUUUUUCUUUUAAAGGUUUUCAAAGAUUUGUAAAUAUAUUUAGAUUUUGAAUCUUAUUCUUGUAAGGGUUUUUAAAGAUUAUUGGUUAAUGUUUUCACCACAAAAGAAAAAAGUAUUGUAUAAUGUUUAGGUUUUGACCUACGUUACAAAUUACAAUCGUUUCCACACUAAAUCAUAACCAACUCCAAAUUUAUCAACAAUAAACUGAUUCUUUAACUUUCAACUUUCAAGUGCAAGCUCAAGUUUAUCAACAUGUACAAAAAAAUGACAAUAGUAAAAACCAACAAAAAACGUAAUAACAAUGAGCGCAGGAGGAGGUUUAUAAUGUUUUCUAUAUAUUUUUAUUUAUAUUAUGAUAUUUCAUUGUUUUUUUUUUUGCUUUUUGUUAGUUUUUAACUAUUGUCAUUACUUGUUAUUCUAUUUUUCAUAUGGAUUAAUCUUUCAAAAACUUUAUAUUAGUUUUUUUUAACUCUUGAUUUAUUAUUUAUUGCAAAUUAUGAGAAUUGUUACAAUGACGAUUCUACUACCGACAAUUCUGUCCGACCCUUAUAGAUUCACCACAGAUUACACCCUUUCCUGACGACAUCUCUUUCUCCAUGCGUAAAAUCACGGCGAACGGCUCUAAUUGUGCAUUGUUAUAGAUCUCCUGUAAGCUUAUCUCCUUGAUCUGCAAAUUAAAUAAAUCGCAUUACCUGGGCGUCGAACCCCAGUCCUCUUGGUGUAGAAGCUUUAAACGACCCUUCGUCAACCACUAGACUAAGGGAGC